RNAcentral lists this long non-coding RNA (68137 nucleotides) under Malus domestica (apple). RNAcentral describes it as "long non-coding RNA (MDOM_LNC007882)". The stretch from base 37925 to 38025 matches the Rfam family "Small nucleolar RNA R64/Z200 family". Lineage: Eukaryota; Viridiplantae; Streptophyta; Magnoliopsida; Rosales; Rosaceae. The record is from RNAcentral.
GGGAUUACCCAUCAGACUCGUCAAUGUCGACAACAACCAUAGCAUUAUAAGAAAUACAACUAGAGAGUGACAGUUAAAGAGGGUGCCAUUGCAAUCCAAAGUGGGGGGACCAGACACAAAUCCUUAAACAUAACACUUAGUGUCCCAAAUAAUUGAGGAAUCAGAAACAUCGAAUCCUGAAAAAAACCUAGUGGUGUUUUUACGAAAUCUGACGAUUAUACCAUAUAUGAUUGAACAAAUAUCCAUGGUCACUACUUACAGAAACUGAUGUGUACUAAAGCUCGGCAGCUUGCCCGACAUACGAUAUAUAUUUAGUGACAGAUAAAGAAAUGCUACCAGUAAUGUUACCUAUCUAAUAGUAUUUAAAUAUUAGCUUUAACUAUUUUAUGUUCAAAGUUCUCCAUGUUACUUUCAAGGCUAGAGAUAAGUAUUACAUCAACAAAUUCUUAAUCCAUGGCUCCAUUGAAAGAACUACGGUUCAAAUCAACAUGUGGGGGCAUCUCUUUCAAUCAUAUGAGAUAUACGGUCCACCAAAAGGUCCCAACUCUUUCUUCAUAAAUAAGUACAUGUGGAGACUAUAGUUUAUUAAUUAACUGGGUUGCAACAACAACAAUUUACCUUUUUGGGUCCCAACUUCCACUUAGCCCAAUUAGUUUCUCACAGUUCUGAGGAGAGAAGGGAGAGGGGAAAUGGGGCAAACAUUAGCUAUGAAAUAUCAUCAGUUCAACGAAAUGCAGAUAGCUCCUGAUAUGAAGCAGCAAUGCAGAUGCUAUUCAAAAUUUCAAACCACAUCUAAAUCAUUCGCAAAAAAGUUAAUCAACUUUCAGAUGUUGUGAGAUGCCUACUCAAUGCUAACUGCCCUUUCCACAACAAAGAUUGGAGUAUAAGUAGCAAAACCUAGAACAUGAAACAUAUAAUCACCAAUCACAAACCUGAAAGAACUCAAUUCUCUUGCCAGAAAGUAAAAGGAAAAAAAGAACACUGAACUUGACUUGAAUUUUAGACAUUUAUCCAUCCGAUUCUACAAAUAUAUCCAGUCAGAAAAUGUUUGUUCUUUGUGCUGCACCAUAUGCGAGUGUGAGUGAGCUAAUCAAUUUGACGUACAAAUAAGAUUAACAAGUCACAAUGAAUCCAAACAUCAAGCCCUCAUCCCACAAUGAAGACAUGAACCUAGUUCAAAGUCAGUAUUUCUGUCCAAAGCGAGUGUACCCUACAUGUCUGAUAUAAGGCCUUACUGAUUUCUACUAGUUUUCCCCCUCCCUACGCAGCGUAUUUGUGCUUUCAAACUUGCAAUUACAAAACUCAAAGUAUUUAUUUAGGCCCACCAUUCAUCAUUUGAUCAAAAUUCACCUCUCUUUAUGACAUUUGUACUUUUACAUACUGUCACCUCUAUUAGGUGAACAUAUAUUGUGCUUUCAAGGGCCCAAUUUGAUUCUCUGAUACUAAAACCAACAGAAUCAAGUCAAAAGUAUUUCCUUUACCUUAGAUCUUAGAAGCAUAAACCAUUUAGUGGGGUCAACCAAUUUGAUACUAGAUGCUAUGCGCUCUUCUAGACCUCCGUUACCGGCCUUGAAUGGAGUAAGACUACACACCAAUAUGAAUAAGAUAAUGCCACCAUCACAUCAGCAAAGAAAAAUAAAGGAAACCAAUUUUUAAAGAAAUUCUAGAGGAACUGUUAUGCUACAGAUCAACUACAUUUUGGGAAUGAUAAGAUAAGACGAUAGUAUAGGUAGAUCAAGAGUUAGGCUAUGUAGCACAUGUAUACAUAAAUCUUGCGAUCAAAAUGAAAAGAAUUUUCAUAUAGUUAUAAAACAAAAUUUAUAACUAUAGCAUUGGAAGAUCAGGAGAUGACUAUGUAGCACAUAUACAUCCUGCAUACAUAAGAAAAGACUUCACAAAUAUAGCAGGUAUUGAUAUGGAGCAAUUUUGGUGCCAUUAUUUCAUGCAAAACCAAAUGAUAAGCUGGUUACAAGACCUAAUAAUUUGAGCAACUCAGAUAUUGGGAGAUGAUAAAUACUUAAAGAAUAACUCUACCUACACAGUUAACUUUCCAGUAAAAGAAAUAUAUAUACAAAGUUAGUUGCAGAUUUCUUACAUUCUUGACAAAACUCGGCUUUAACAUAAUAAAGUUUAACUCAAUUUCAACAGUAGUUGAUCAUCCAGGAAACUAUAAUUUAUCACCGAAGUCUUUGACCUGCAAUAUAUAGGUCCAAAAAUCAGAGAGAUGUAACAAUAUGGACAUAUACAUAAUAGUAACAUCUAUGGGACCACGUGGAAAACAUAAUUCAUAUAUACUGCCCGUGAAACAGUAACUUACAAUGCAAGUUCAUUAAGGCUGAUGCAGCAUGACUCAAAGUUACAAGCUCACCUUCUUGACAUGGCAUUAGAGAAUGUGUAAUUGCAUCAUCUGAAAAAUCAUCAUAGUUUCAUAUUUCAGUUUCCAUGAGCCCCCUCCCAUAGAUAGACUUCCUUCAAAUUUCUACUGCUGCUCCUCGAAGUGACUUUUCUUUCUUCUUCUUCUUCUUCUGGGCCCACUUGGGUCCAUAAAUAGCCAAGUGUGUCCUGCCAAACCGUCGAUCGGUUAUCUGCAGUUUCAUAUGAAACCAUUAGCAAUUAAACCCAUCCCAAACAUUCUACAGUUAUAAGGUCAGGAUAGCUAUCACUAUCUCACAUUUCAUAAUGCUUUAUCCAUUGUAAAACUACUGAUAGUAUGCAUUACCUUCACAAGGCAUCCACAUGAAUCCAGCAUGUCAGUCCUUAGUGGGUACUCAACUACCUAGACCAUGAAUUUGGAAGAUUAGUGAAGAACUGGCAAAAAUAUAAGCAAUAACAGAAAUAGAAAAUCACAACUUACUAUAAAGCUAUCUUCUCCAACUAGAUCUGAACUUGAUAUUUGAUCCAUCAGUACUGCAUAGUCAACUUCCAUAUACGGUGGGGUAACGCUAAUGUAAUCAAAUGGUUCUUUACCUGCAGGAAAUUGAUUUUAUUUUGUAAUGACUGGAUACAAAAAGAGAAUGAAAGAUGGUAUAUAUGUUGUAAGAAAUAUGACGAUAACGAAUCUAAGAUUAUAACAAUGUUUGUGCACAAUGAGGUCACUUCUAAUCCGCACUUAAACAUUUGUCUAUGGUUACCACACACACACAGAGCAAGAAAGAAAGAGAGAUUAUUAGCACAUACCUGCAAGUUUCUGUGCACGUUCCAUGAAUUUUUCAACACGAACAGUAUGUAUAACUGACAUAUCAAGAAACCCAGUCCAUUCCAAAUUUGGGCGUAAAACAUCUGAAACAACCCAUGGAUCCAUCUCAACAAAAUGUACCUGGAAUUUGUAAUUGGUGAAGGUAGGAAAUUCAUCAAGAUGUAAGUUCUUGACCCAAAGACACAAAAGAUAUAAUAUGCUACGAAGUACAACAAACACAGAAAAUAAAUGCAUUGCAAAAAAAAAAAAUUCAUUGGAAAUUCCACAUUCAAACCCCAACUUCACCUAAAAUUAGAAGACUGCUUUAGACUGUUGUAGGUCCAGAUAUGAAUUGAGAACUCACCAAAGUACAUACGUAAGUCUAUUGUAUUAAACAUUGAACAAUUUUGUAGUACCAAGAGAUAUGAACUAAUUUAUGAAUGGUACCUCGGAGCAUCCUCGGCUAAUAGCUUCAAUUCCAACCGAUCCAGUACCACUGUACAAGUCUAACCAACGGCCAGGCCUCAAAGAUGCAGGACAACCACCAGCAGCCUAAGAUUUGCAGCGCAAAUAUUAAUUUACAAGCACAGAUGUCGAAUACAGGCACAUAUGUCGUAGGCACAAGACUUACUUACCUGCAGGAUAUCAAAGGCUGCACCUUUCACAACCUCCAUCAUCGGGCGCACAUCCAUACCUUUUGGACUUAGCAACUUCAUUCUCCGCGCCUUUCCUCCAAGCACCUACAUUGGCCGUAAUCAUUGGCUGCAAUUUUAGACUCAAGAAAUAUUACUGUAAUUGGUAUUUCACUAUUUCCAACUGCCAAACAUGUUAUUGUAUACCGCCGUUUCGCUAAUCAACAAGUAGCAGCUAAAUGUGUUCUUAACUUGCAUUAAAUUAUGAAGGAAAGACACAAAAUUUGGAGAAAUUACAUACAGUAAGCAACUUAUGGGUUGUUCGAGCGGCCUUCGGCUCCUUUGGUGUAAUUUCAACGCCCCGUCCAGACUCUUUCAGCUUUUUCUUCCUCUUUCCCUAACAUUCCAAUUCCCAAACGUAAAUAUACACAUAUACAUACAUAUAUAUUUUUUAUAUAUAACAAACGGAUUAAAGAGAGAGAGAGAGAGAGAGAGAGGGUACGUUUGGAGAGGGCUCAGGAGAUAAGGAUUCAUCGGGGUUGAAGCCGUACUGCUCCAUCAACACUCUCUUGGCCUCACUCCACGAUUCCUUCUCCGACUCUGCAACCAUUAACACACAAAAAAAACUUCAAAUUUCUAAUAAAAACGACGAAAUUUCAAUCGAAUGAACCGAGUCGUAUAAAAACGACGAGGUUUACUGGAAGCGAGGACGACGGCAGGUGAUUGCCGUCGAUUGUUGCAGAAAUUGAUGCGAGGAAGAGUGGAAGAAGGCGAGACAAAUUCCGUAGCUGUUAUCUUCAUUCGGAAUGGAGAGAGGAUCGGAGAAGAUGAAACCGCCAUUGCCGCCCUGAGCUCAGAGCUCCAACUCAAGCUGUAGACUGUAGAGUGAAAGCUUCUCACUUUGUUAUCUUUUUCUUUCUGUUGGGCUGAAUACGAGCUGGGCCUAUGUAUGUGGGCUUUUAUGUGUCGAAUCAAUACAAAUCAGAAAAAGGGUGGAUGGGCCUACAAUUUUAGUCGGCUAGCCCAACAACCAGACUCUUCCUCGAACCCGGUGCCUUGUUAACGCGUCCACACGUGUCCGAAUCUAUCCACCAAUAGCGUCACCAAACAGGAUCUCGCAAACUGAGACACGUCAGUAUACACUAACGCAUGGAACACAUGGUAUCUAGCUAUCACGAUCACGAUCACCCUGCCACGCGGCAUUCGGUAGGCCGUCGAUUUCAUGCGUGGAAAGACCGCGUCACUGAAACUGGAAAAAAAAUUGGUGGCAGAUUGUCUUCACACCCCUUCUCAUCCUCUUCUAUUUUGUGCGGUCAUAUAAAGACACGUUAAUAUUUAUAUUAAUUAUUUUUAUAAAAAUAAUAAGAUAAAAAAUAAUAAGAAUAUAAAAUAUUUACGUGACUUAAUCGUGACCAUAUAAAUAGAAGAUGAUAAAUAAAAGUACCAAACAGAAGGUAGAUAAUCUGCUUCCAAAAAAAUUUCAUUAUGAUGAUAACAAAAAUAUAAAUAAUACAUCACGUAUUUUAUAAAAAUUAUAAAAAAAUUUAUUUUUUAAAUUAUUAACUUCUCAACUCAUAUAUAAUAUAUCACAUCAUUAAUACACGCCGUAUACCGGUGACGUUGGAAAAUCUCUAAACUGGACUCGCCCACCAACUUUGGCCAGUUACGAUGCCGCAAGCGAGAGAGAAAGAGGCGUCGAAUCUUGAUAAUUAAUUAAUUAAUUAGUUUAAGUAUUUAAUUUUUAAUCAAUCGAUCGAUCAGAGAGUGGAGGAGCAGUAGCAGAAGCACAAGCUGCCCAAUCCGAUUGGAAAGUGAGGGAAUUUAGUUUUGGGGGAAAUGGGGGCUUGUGCUUCGAGGCCGAAGGGCUGCAGUUUCGGAUUCAAGAAGAAGAAGAAGAAUGACGGCGGCGCCCGCCGCCGGAGGCGAGUCAUUCCCCGGCGCGUUUCGUCGGCCUCCGAUCGCUCUCACUCCGUUCCUACACACCAAGGUCUUUAAUUUACUCUUUUGAUUCGUUGGGUUUCCGUUUUUCUUUUUAUUUUAUUUAAUUGGACGAGUUCUGUCCAGCAGGAAGUAUGGAUGCAUCGUUUUUUGAUGCGAAUUCGGCGAUCGAGUCGGAGCGAGAUGACGAAUUUUACAGUGUUCAUGAUGGUAUUUUUCAUUUCUCAAUUUUCAGUAAUUUUUUUUUCCAUUUUUUUAAAUAAUUGCGUAGGAAUUUGGCCUGAAUUUUGUAGUUAAAGCGAGUUUGUGCAAGAGUAGUUGUAGGAAGUGAACGGUGGAGUUGAAAAGUGGGUUGCUUUGUAUUGGUUUGCAGAUGUGAUGUCAUUACACGAGUCGGAAAGUGCAUCCACAUUGAGUGUGUCUUCACCGAGAGGUCUUUCUCGGCUGGCACUGAAACCGCCGCCAUUGCAUUCCACCUCCGCUGUGUCCGCGGAGGUGACUGUGGAUGAAAUUGGCGGAGGGGACAAGAUGCAGGGACUGGAUCAUUGUUGGAUUCUUCAAACUUCUUGCUUGCCUUGUCUUCCUUCCACUUCCAAUAGCCCGUUGGGCGACAAAAGAAUAACCCCGGCCGCGCCAAGCUUGAGGAGGAAAGUCCUUUCCUUUAAAUGGAGGGAAGGGCAUUCUGCUAGUGCUGCAGCUGCAGCUGAUUCCACCCCCACAUUACGUGAGUUUUGCCCGUAUACUUGCCGUUUUGUUAGUAUUGUGAUGUUAAAUCGUGCUACUUAACAAUGUGGAUUGGCAGCUGAUCUUAAUCUUCUGUGUUCGUGUUAGUUUCCCCCAGAACGCUUGCGAAAAGACCACUUGCCGGUUCUACAAUUCCGUACUGUCCCGUUGAGAAGAGAAUUCCAGAUUGUUGGUCACCUCUCGAGCCAAAUACAUUCAAAGUCCGGGGUAAAAAUUAUCUUAGGUGAGAGCUUAGUACUUUCAAUAGAAUUGAUCGAUUUCUUUUUUUCUUGGAACAAUCUGUCUGAUUUGUCUGUAUAUCAACUCUUCAUUUGCUUGACAGGGAUAAAAAGAAAGAAAUUGCUCCGAGCUGCGCUGCAUUUUAUCCUUUCGCCGCUGAUAUUUUCGUAUCUCAGAAAAAGAUUGAUCACAUUGCUCGUUUUGUGGAACUUCCAGUUGUGAGUACCACUGGAGACAUCCCGUCUAUUCUUGUUGUAAAUGUUCAGGUGCCUAUUCUUCACAAAUUACUCUGAACUUAUUUCGUUUCGCUUUAAAUAAUAAUAAUAAUGUUCCAUGCUAAACCUGUUGGUAUGUUCAUAAUCUGUUUGUCCUCUAGGUUCGGAAAUCGUUUUUUUCUUUGGCUAAACAUUCUUUGUAAUUUUUCCCUAAUUGCUAAUUCUAUGUGAAUCUUCUAUGCUACAGAUACCACUUUAUCCAGCCAAUUUUUUUCAAGGCGAUAGUGAUGGAGAAGGAAUGAACUUGGUUAUGUACUAUAAGAUUUCUGAAACUUAUUCCAAAGAGCUUCCCCCUCAUUUCCGAGAAAGUAUCACUGUAAGCUGCGUGAAACUCUAGAUGUGUCCGGUUCCUGAUUAUCGUAUAGUAGACUCAAGACUCGCUCAUUGUGUUGAUUUAGUAUGUAUAGCUUAUUAAUUAUUCUGUGUCCUUGGUUAAUUCCGUGACAGAGACUGAUCAAUGACGAAGUGGAGAGAGUUAGAGGAUUCCCUGUCGAUACAAUUGCACCCUUCAGGGAAAGAUUGAAAAUUUUGGGCCGAGUGGCAAAUUUGGAGGAUCUUCAUUUAAGCACAGCCGAGAAGAAGCUAAUGAAUGCUUACAAUGAAAAACCUGUUCUUUCACGUCCUCAACAUGAAUUUUACUUGGUAAUUUUUGGUUUUGAUUCUCCACCUACGUAAUUAUCGGAAAACACACCAUAUAUCCCCUUUUAACUUUUCUUUCCCGUCAAUCAUACUCAUAUAGGGAGAAAACUACUUCGAGAUCGAUUUGGAUAUGCACAGAUUCAGCUACAUCUCUAGAAAAGGUAUUGAAGCAUUUCACGAAAGAAUGAAGCUGUCGGUAUUGGAUUUUGGUCUCACAAUUCAGGUAAACAAUAUAUUUCGUUAAUCUGAGCAUGGCGCAUUUACCUCAUACUUAAGAUCGACACCUAAUCUGUGCUAUGCAUUGUGAUUUUCAAAUAGGGGAACAAGCCAGAAGACUUGCCUGAACAUUUGUUAUGCAGCAUACGGUUGAACAAAGUUGACUACAAUAAUAAAUCAUUACCAGGAGUUUUGAAUCCAAAGUCUCUGUAAUCCCAACACGAUGCUCGAGUUUUUCAAAUCAAUAAAUAACUGAAAAACAAAUUCUACGAUAAAAUCUGUAUUCAUACUUCUGUGUCCAGUAUGCUUUCGGUUUCUGUUUGCAGCUUCUUGGCAGCAAGGGGUUUGGCUAUAGAUCGGAGCAAGAGCCAGAAUCUUCUCCUCUCCUCCUCCUGCUGCUGCAUCUACAGGUCUCAUUCCUUCCCCUCCAUUUAAAUCCACUGAUUGUAUCUGGAAGCUGCUGCUUUUAUCUGCACGCUGAUGAUCGAUAAGUUCAUCUUUCCAGAUGUACAUGGUAAGAAAGUAAGAAAUAAAGAUUUUCAUUCAUAAUUACCGUCGUGAGGCACUUAUAAAACGAGGUUCCAACUAGGCUGCAGGAGGCCUCAGACAUCGCCCGAAAACCGUAGAAAACGAACAUUUAUGAACACUGUGAUCAGGCUUAGAACGUAAAGAUGAAUCUGGUGGGGAAUGUGAAUCAGCAUCCUUUCUUUCUCGAGACCCUUCGUCUGGAUUUGGAUGUUCUUCCCCGUCACUUUUGUUAAUCGAAACUGUGACCUCCAGAGUCGGCUUUUUCUCGACGGUUUGACUCUUAUCCUCCCAAAUGAGGCCGGAGGAGCCCUGCCUUCGAAAUGACAUCGACGAUCUCCGCAACGCCGUCAUUGAUCGAUACUUUCGGUGUCUUCCCUUCCUCGGUCGCUGUCUUCGUGUUCCCUUGUUUCAUCCGUCUUGUUUGGUCUCUUCCUUUGCUCGGAGGAUGAUAUUAAUAGGCUUUCCUUUUUUAACAAACAAAACAGCUUCUUGUUUUGAGUUUGUGGCCACUUACUCAUAAUUAUAGCCACAAUUUUAUUCUAGAUGCAAUUCAUUACUAUGCCCUUUACCAUCAUCUUUCUUUAGUUUUGGUAACUUGUGAGUCCAUGUUAUAAUAUGAGUGGACAACGACUUUAUGUCUUAGGUUAUAAUAUUAACAAUAAUCCACCCAUAUUAAAAUUAAGUUAAAAUUACGUGAUGUUAUUCUAGUAUUAUGUGAUAAUAUCUCUCGUUCAGCGUCUUGGUGGAGUCUGAUUUCGCAAUUGCUCUCUAGUUGAUAUCACAUGGUGCAAUUGAUAAUAUCCUAUUGAUGAAUUGAUUCAAGCUUGUCGUGCGAUGUUACUGCGUGACCGGAAAUGUAAUAAGCGACAUAUCAAUCGUGAGAUGAAUUUUGUUGAUGAUCAGUUGGCCAAUGUGAGCCUCGCUCAUCCUUUGGGUCCGGUCUAUUUUGAGCAAGCUUUAUCUUCUGUAAGCAGUUAUUAUUGUUUGAUAUUUUUGAGAUCUCUUGACCUCGCGACAUCAUUUUGUAAUUUCUCUUUUGUCGGGCUAUUAGCUCCUUUGUGUAACCCAAAAAAAAAUCUCCCUCAACCUUAAAUAAUUUGAUACUGAUUAUUGUGGUCUCAUCCUUGGUGGUAGGUGAAAACAGACGCAGAAGUUAAUGAAGGGUAUAAACCGUAUAGGAUUAAUUGGACAUGAAAAUUAAAGCUUUCAUUAUGUAGUUAACGUAACAUAUUAAAGCUAAGACAAGAAAUUAACUACUUUAAUGCAGAUGUGAGUUAUUGUCAGUAUAAUGGUAGUAUGCUCGUCCGUUGCAUCCAAGUUCGAAUCCUUUUCUUCUAAAUUAUAAUAGUUUAUAGGAUAUCCUCAUAUCAAAAAAUAGUUUAACUAAUUAAUAAUCGAAAGAAGCAUCCAAAAGUUGAGGAAAAGCUGCCUGCAUCUCACUGUCUUGAUCCAAGAUAGUCUCCACAAACGAACACAUGGAAGUUGAAGAAGCUUGGUGAUCAGGCCAGUCAUAGCUCCUUUGACCUACAAAAUCACAUCCCUCAAUUGCAUCGGAGCUGCCUUGCACUCCAAAUGUAGGGUUUUCUGGAGAUGACAUCAUCACCCCAUGCAAAUCUUGUUCUUGCUUCAAAUGAUCAGCUGAUGUAAAAGGAUCGUACAGAAGAUACUCCCUCCAAUUGAACGAAGAAGAGGACGGCGUAAUCUGAGCCUCGUGUGACUCCCAGCACGCGUUAGUUGGUUGCGAAAAUCCUUGUCCAUUAAUAUUAGGGUUCAAGGUCACAUUGGUGUAUGGAAUUCCUGUGAUGCAGGAAGAGUUUAAUUCGGGUGCGAAUGCACUUUUCGAUUGCUUGAAAAGGGACGAGAACGGAUGAUUCCCGUCAGUGCUUGGGAGGCCGCUGAUGUUUCCGUAGUCGGAGAGGAUCUGAGAGUAGGGUUUGUGGGUGACAGGGUCAAUUCCCAUCUUGGAAAGCUUCUUUUUGAGCUUGGUGUUCCAGUAGUUUUUGACAUCAUUGUCCGUUCUUCCUGGUAGUCGUUUUGCAAUGCGAGACCACCUGCACUACAUAAGCAUGGAGAGAGAGAGAGAGAGAGAGAGAGAGAGAGAGAGAGAGAGAGUUAUUGUACAUGCACUUCUAACAGAAUUAAUACAGGCUGUUAAACAGUUAGUUAUAUAUACAUAUAUAGGGUGAAAAUUCGAAAACAUACGCUUUUAUACACCUUUUUUUAGGGUCAUUAUGUAAUGCAUUUUAACAAUCCAAACCGUCUAUCUUUUAGGUUUCUCUCAAAGAUCAUGUCUACCAUAAAUCAUCCAAAUUCAAAAUCACAUGACUAUUGGAUUAAAUUUAGUGAUAUAAAAUCGUAUUUGUCUAUUUUCUUCACUACAAAUGAAUAUCUUAAUAGUUCUGGAUUCAUCUAAUUUUUGUUUUGAUACAAUCAUACAAGUGAUGGUGAGACGGGGCAGUGCACCUAGGAAUUCGAGUGCAUAGAGAAUAAUGAUCAUAAACACUUGAGCUACAAGUCCCUUACUCCUAAAAGAGUUCAUUAAAACCAAAAUAUCACACCAACCAAGUUAGGGGAAAAUACCGCUUGACUCCUUACCUAAUUACAAAUCACAAUAUGACGUCUAGCUACAAAUCACAGUAUGACGUUUACAAUAUUAUUAACUCAUUAGAAACACAGAAUUUCUUUUACAUGUACAUUUAAAAUUUUAAUUUGUUGUUUUUAUUGGGAAAUUCCCUAAUUUUCUAGAUAUAUUAUUUACUUCUUCUCAUGGUAAUCUGGGUUAAUUUCUUGGUUUUUAUAUACUUAAAGAUAUAAUCUUGGUUAUUUAUGUUAUAUUUUACCAGUUACGUUCACAUGAAAGGAGAAAAGUAAAAGAAAAACUACUCCACCUGCUUCCUAUGGCCUUGUGCAGGUCAAUGAUAUGCUCUUCCUCUUGAGGAGUGAAGUUGUCAUGCUUGAGGUCAGGCCUCAGGUAAUUAGUCCACCUAAGCCUGCAACUCUUCCCACAUCUGUUGAGUCCUGCAGAUAAACUCAUCAUGCAAACACGUAAAUUUUAAACAUCGGACGAACUAACGAAAUAGUUAUCAAACAGACGCUUAGAUAAACAGUUAACGAAGUUAACCAUAAAAAUCGAACCUGCUUUUUUAGGAACCAACGUCCAAUUUCCGACUCCAUGUUUCGAUACAUAGGCAAGAAUUUUUGGUUAAGGCACAAACCAACCUAUGCGCCCUCUCUCUCACCCAGCUGUUUCAAAUUGGAUGAAUUAUUUGGUUAAGGCACAAGCAGAAUUAAACAGUUGGACAUAAGCUUUUACAGGUCGUGAAUGUUCACAAACUUGGAACCGGACAUGCAUUAGGUUGACAAUUUCAAAUACGUACGUAGAUAAAACUAGUUCCCUUUCAUUUUGGCCCUAACUUUUCCAAGGGAAUGUCCCCGCUUCCGCAUUCAUUGCAAGAUUCAGUGAAGUUCACAGACAGAAGAAGAGAUCGUAAAUCGUCAAGGUAAAGAGCUCGUGAUGCUUCAACGGAUAAGGGAUAACCGUUAAGACUCCCAAAAUGUCCUUAACGUUAAAAAUGAACAGUACCAUGAGUAUUUCGUUAAGACUCCCAAAUUAAAAUUUUCAUUUUUGUAAUAGUAAACUGCGCAACAAAUGAAUAAUGUUCUAAAGUUUCCAUCUGGGGCACAGCAGCUCCGAACAUAUAUCUCACUAUGGCAGAGCUCAAUGUUAUGUACACCUAAGCAUUUAACCGCGCUCUGUAAAUAUUGACCUCCCUUAGGACGAACACGCAUCGCAACUCUUCCUGCAAUAUCCAGGAAGGCCCUGUGUGCCUAUCAUAUAAGUCGGGUUCUUUUGACAUUCACCGGCUUUAGCCCAAAGGGGGCAGUUAUCAUUCUCGUCUGAACAACCCUUGCCAGUUGCAGACUUUAAUAGCGACUUCUCGAAGGAUCUCACAUGAAUCCACUUGGUUGCAGACCAUUUCUCGCCCUCAAUGACAGGGCAACUCCCGUGCAAGCUGCUUGGAUCGGUGGUUCCAUUGGGAUGGAGACUGAAGAACAUCAGGGCAUCACCCUUGUACGGUUUCACUGUAGGGAUACAUAGACAUAGUAAAUAAGUGACUACAACACAUAUAAAACAGUAUAACAGCAAAUAUGUUUUGUAUGCAUUUCAAACUAUAAUUCACUACCCCCUUCCGCACUUUACACAGAACAUGAAUUUCAAACCAUAUCAUAAUGUGAUACCUGAAUAGCCGUCUUUAGCACAAUCAGAAGCGUCGUCAUCCUUAAUUUGAGACAGUUUUCCCUGUCAACGCAUAAGAAGAUGAAUGAAAUUCAAGAGGUAAGGAAGGAGAAAGAAAAGGAGGGCAAACGAAUUCAGUCUUGCAAGUAAUCCAUUACCUCCGAAUUGGGAAAGACUGUUUCCCCACCCUUUUCAACAUUAGAGAGAUACAUUAAUACAGUGGCGAUACGGUGGCCACCCAAUUGUUGGUUAGCCUUGUCAUGAAAAUAAUCAAAAUGCGGUUCGUACUUUUGACCGUGUUCAUAGUGCAGUAUCUGAAUGGACUCCCCAUUUUCUGAUUAGAAAAAGAAAGGAAGUUCAACAAAGAUGAAAUAAGGCACUUUCUUAAGAGUCCAAUAAACUGUAAAUCAAAAGCGCGAGAGAAAUUUUACCAAUUGGAAGAAAGGUCCAUGCAGCAAUCCUAGCUUCAAUGUUAGCAACUACUUCAUCCUAAGGUGAAACAUAGAACACCAAGUAAACCGUCUGAAUUCAAAAGUCAGAGAAAGCAAGACACCAUAGUAAUGGAACAUGGUUUGCAUUUUCUAAUAAAUGCCUAAAAACAAUCCAUCACAAUGGCUACAUUUACCGCAUAAGCUUUUGCAUAUGAUGGGAUUAUCAUCUAACAUAGAAGCGCAACGGGUUUGAAUCUCAGGGCAUAGUAAGACGGAUUAACUUGACAGCUAAAAAAAAAUAGAAACUCUUCUUCCGAACACGAAUAUACGAAGGUUUGAUCAAUGAUCCCUUUCAGACUCAUUUGACAUGAAAAGUCUACAACCCAAUUUGAUUUAAAUAAGAUGCAAGAGGAUGAUCAUCUUGACGCAUACACUUGCUCUGAGUUCAAUUGUCUAUCAACGACGGAGGAAAAAAACAUAACUAUUAACCCUAUGAAUGUUAGACGUUUCAGGUCUAAUUCCACAAAUUGGACAACACCAAAGGCAAGUUAACAACUCCGCUGAACAAGUAGGUUCAAAACUGCGUGGAGGAACUCGUACGAGUUGAAACUACUGUUUACAGUAUAAAUCAAUACGUAACAUGGUAUGUAGACGAACCUUCAAAAGUACAUCGAAUUAAUUCAAAAUCAUUGCGGCAUUAAUGAAGUAAUUCAAAAUCAUUCAACGAAGUAAAAUGACUAAUUCAAGAAAGCAGAGGAAUUGACAAACCUGAGCUUUCAGAAGGAACAUUCCGGAGCUCGUCCGGACUUCACUCUCUAUACUCUUACCAGACUCGUUAUCGGCCACCAUAGACUUUUCUAGCUUAUUCUUCGCCUACUCCGCGAAAUUCACACAAACCAAAUUAAUACUGAUUAGAGACUCUAAUUAGUGAAUUCUAGAUGGACUAAAAACACAUAAUUCAACGAAAAUAUAGGGAAGAAAAUCAUUUACAAUUUCAAUUAGAUGAUCACAUUCCUCCUCAGAAAGAAAACCCUUGAACAAAAACGCCCUGCAGAUUGUCGAUCACACGAAAAAUUAAGAAAAAAAAACAAUAAAAUUAAUGAAACAAUAAUAAAAAGAGAAAUUCAGCAGAAAUUAUUAGAAAUGCAAUUGAGAGAAAAAUAAAAACCUCACCUUGGACGCCAUGUGAGCUGACUGACACGAGUCGGAUCGAAGGUAGCAGAGGAAGCUCCUCUUCUAAAUCUGAUCACCGAUCCCUCCCUGAAAAUUCACACAAUUUCCAAACAAAAAUUAAAUAAACGAAACUACGAAAAUGUACACAAAAAAUUACGUAGAGAGAGAGAGAUAUGGGAAUACGUUUUCUUCUCGUCGAGCGAUCCCGGAACGAGGGAAUGGGCGAGGUGAGAGGAAAUGCAGAGGAAACAGAGAGAAAGUGCGAGAAAAUAUCCAAGAUCCAUGAGAAAAUCUAAGGUUUUGGUAAGGUUUGUAAGAAAUGUCACAGAAUCGGAGGAAGACGAAGAUGGAAGACUUCGGCCCUUCCUAGGGGUUUUAUGCUGAAAAUGUACUAAAUUGGUGGGUUGUUUUGCAAAUUAAAUAAUUUUCUGGCAAAAAGUUAAUUAAUUAAUUCGAUUUUUUAGCUUUUUCUUCAGUUGGGACAAAUAAAAUGGGCGCCCACCGCAUCGUUUUGGUCCGGUUUUGUUUCUGUUGUCUGCAGUCAAAGCCCCAAUUGUGAUUGUCUGGAAGGUUCCGUUUGUUUGAGGUAAUGUAGGGUACACAAGGUCAAAAGGCUAGUCCAAAGAAAGAAAAACAAAUAAAGGGUCUCAAGAGAAAUUUCGGUAGAACUGUUUGAUUGGAUAGCUUUCACAUAUAGUAGAUCAGUGUAGUGUUGGAUCAAACCCAUGUUUUGUAGCAAUGUUGCAUUGUCUUACUCAUCAGGGGUCUGAAACUUAUGAUGACAACGGGGUUUAGGUCGUCUGCUUUAGCGUCGUUUGUUUUUGGAUUUGUAACUAGUUGAUUCAGCAGGUCAGUUUAUACAUGUUCUUUAUCGGAUUUGAAUUUUCAUGGUCAACGUCCUGCUGUUUGAUCGACCAACAAUCUUUAUGAGUUAGGCGUAGUUAGGCACUACAACUAAAUCAACUUCCCAUUCGGCAGGUCAGUUUAUACAUGUUAUCGGAUUUGGGUUAGGCGUAUAUGGGCUUGCAUUGUGUAACACAAUGUUAAAUAUUGGGCCUAGAAAUCUUGUGGGAAUUCCAACUCCCAGGGUGCUGAUACCCAACCUCUUUAUUGUUGGGCCAGUUUAUAUUAACUGUUGGCCACACUUUUAACUUACGUAUGUUUCGAAGGUAAUAAAGCUACUCUUUUCAUAUAUUUGUAUAAUUUUUUUUAUCAUUUUUCUCAUAUGGACGGGAUUUCAUGUGUUGGUAGACCUCACCUCUAUUAGAUAUAUAUAGUACAAAUGAUGGUACAAAUAUGUGGUAGUGUAGCAUUACUUUUUAAAGAUUGAUUAAUUUCCUAAGACUAUUUUUUCGGACUUGAUGAGUUUUUAAGCACAUUCUAAAAGGAGAUAUCAAAUGUAAAAUAUCAAAUUUUAAUUUGAGAACUUAUGUGGCAAUUUGGUAUCCUACAAAACUUCUUACUCCAUCAUAUAUCAGAAUGUUUCAUUUUAUAUUAUUUUCCAUUUCUAUUAAAGAAAGUGGAAAGUAAUAAUUUCAAAGGAAACCAAAAAGGUUGUAGUUAUUGUGGACCCUAUCUUAAUCAAAUUAAAAAUAUUUGGAAGCACCUGCUUCAAUUCAAGUCAGCAUUUGGUUCAUCGGUUGGAACCACUUUUGCUAUUAAAAAUAUACGUUUUUGUCCAACUGACAUUAAUUUUUUACAUCUCCUUAAUUUGGAGAUUCUCUAAGAAAAUUUUCCGGCUCUAGGGUUUUUAUCAGUUAACCUUUAACUGUGUUCCUAACUAACGCGAUAUAAAAAUCUUUGGUUUUAAUCAGUAUUUAAAUUUGUGAUAUUUUUUGACAAACUAUGAUAAAGUUCACAAACAAAUGCAAUAGCGACAUUUAUAUUGUCUUGCACGAAACCUCUAAAUCAAUACCAAUCAAACGAAAAAUAUUAUUUAAUGGGGCAACUAGCCUUUGGCUAAUCAAAACUAACUCCCAAUUGAAAACCAAAGGAAAAAUACAUUUAAACUCAGGGAAAAAAAAUACCAAACCAAAGGAAAAAUACAUUUGAACUACUGCAACAUAUUAAUUAAUUAAUUUCCAUGCAUGAGAAAUUUUUUAGUGUGCCGAGACUACGAUUCGGUAUAUUGAAUGUCAUAACCUGACUGUAUUUUCGGCAUACUGAAAAAUUUAUCGCCAUGCAUUGCCAUGCAUAGGUUGUUACCCAAUAUGCAUGUGAUUAUCUGAGAUUAACUUUUUGAGAAACAAAACACACACGCUAAUUUGUAUAUAAUUUCUGUCUUAAUUAAUCACGUUAUGGCUAGCAGCCCAUAAUUUUAUUGGCUGCAGCCGUACGCUUAGACCUUUCCUCGACGAUGCCGUCAUUCCCCGCCAAUGCCCGGUACUUGUCCUUCCGCGUGAAGGUGGUGCACUCAUACGACAGGCUCGCAGCGAUGGUCCUCUGCAUGCAAUUCGCCACGUCGUAGCUCGACUUUCCGGCUCCACAAGUCAGCUCGUACGGCAUCUUGUUUAAAAACGUUACUUCGUACGCCGGGCUAGGGUUCAUGAAGAAGUAGAACGGGUCCAUCCCCUUCCACCCUCGGGCCGUCGUCCCGUGGAACAUGCUCAUGCUGUUUGACAUGGCUACAGGGACGAGCUCGUUGGUCAGCUCUGCAAACAGGGCGGAGAAUCGUAGCAAAAAUGGUUCUCGGCACGUUGUUCCCUCGGGGCAUAUGACGAGAUCGCCUUGUUCUAAGAGGUCUUUAAUCUGGUUCGCGUCCUUGACCCGGUCCCGUGUGAGUCGGACGGUUUUAAUUGGCGAGAUGAGUUCGGAGAGACGGGAGAGAGAGUAGGUCACGGCCGGGAUGGGCCUGCCCAGAGCGAUUGAGAGAAAAAUCGGGUCGAGGAGAGUGCGGUGUGAGCAAAUGAAAAGGACUCCGGUCUGGCCUGUUGAUUUCUUGGCGGGAGGCGGUGGGGUUCCUUUGAUGUACACCCGUACGCCCAACGCCCAUAAAGCGUAGUAUACGACGGGCAUAGGAAGCAGUGCGCCCGCUGCCAUUCGCAAGCAAGCUAAAGUAAAACCGACCGGGAUCCAAAGAAUUAUAAGCAACGCCAAGAGCGGCGAUGGCUUCUGAACCAGCCUUCCGUCGUGAAAUACUAUCGGUUUUGGCAACUUGUCGAGGCUCACCGCCGCAACUUCCGGCGUAGCAGGAACCACAUAGCUUUCCUUGCAUAACUUCAUGAAUGGGUAGUCCGUUUUUCGGUCGCCAAGCCCGACAUCAGGAGCUGAUGAGGGGUCAGUGCCGAACGCUUUGUUAAGCGCGUUGGCCUUGCCUCCGUCGACCAGAACCCCAGGACUGAGGACCCAACCUGUGGCUCUGCUUUUGUAGGUGGCGAUCUCAGUCCCGAGAACCAUGUCAGCGCCCAAAAACUCCUUCAAAAACGGCUCCACCAUUAUCCUCGGGUUUGCGGUCAGAACGCAGCGUUUCCCACACGAAGAAAAGACUCUCCACGUCUCGGGGUGCAAGUCGGCGGAAUAGAACUUGGGGAGGAUCGCACGCGCCACAGAUUCUAUGUCGGAGACUCUCAUACCGGCGAAAGUGGCGAAAACCAUGACACGAAUGCCGGCUGACUCCGAGACAAAGUAGUACAGCAGACCAAUGAGUGGAGACGCCAGUAGUAAAAAGAGAAGCCUUAGUAUGCCGCCGGCCUCAAAGGCGACGAGGGCAAAGUAAGGGAAGGAGCUCCGUCCUCUUAGCAAAGUGCCGUCCAUGUCCGCCACGACAGUGUGUUUUUCGCGACCGAUUGAAGGGCAGCGGUCGAUUGCCGGCAAGGUAGGAAGAGAACCUUCCUUCAUACCGGUGGCCAUGGAGGGGAUCGAAAGUUUUGCAAAUUAUACCAACUUGGCUAUGGAAAAAUUGUUGGUACUAAUAUUUUUUUUCCUAGUAAUUUGUUAUUAGUACCUGCCUAAUAUGGUAUGUCUGUGGAUAUAUAUAUAGAAAGAGAGAAAUAGGGUGGUUGCUUGAAUUUUUUGACUUAUGUGACCAAUGACAGUGUCGCCGAGAGAAUGGUGACACCAUCAUUUGACUCAUUACCCAUUUGUCUUGUGUUAGUUGCGUUGUGUGUAUUAGGCUUAAAUGCUUAAUAAUGAACGAGAGAAAGAAAAAUGCUAAUUAUUGUAUUAGGGCUUAAAAUUAUGGGCCAAAUUAUGGGCGUCGAAACGUUUCAUUAUCACAUUGCGUUACUUAAUACUAACAUGUUUAUAUUAUAACAAGAUGUUGAAAAAUUUAAUAAUAAUAUUAUUAUAUUAAAUUUAUUAAUUGAAUGGAAAUUAGAAGUGAAGCCAUUUGGUGGAAAGAUGUGCCUAAUCAAAUGAAGAGUUGCAAUUUUUUACUCUUCAUGAAUAGUCACAUGUUUUCCAAAGAGGUAUCUCACAUUCUAUAAAUAGGGAAGCCCCCUAUAAUCAUAAAAUAACUUUUCAUCAUACAUAUAUAUAGUGCAUUAAAUAUUAGAGAGUUUCAUUGAGUUCAUAUGAGAGAGUUUUCAACACAAUCGUGGUUCAUGGAGCCUUGUGAUUUGGAGUGCUACUAUUACAAGGGCGUGGUCGUUGUAUCUUGGAAGACAUGCGCCAAUCAACCAUGAGAAACCUAAUAGAGCGUAAACUUGUCUUAAGGACAAAGUGUACAACACUGGCCUCAACCGUAUUUUCUAGGUUUUUCUAAUCCAUUAUGUCAUGUUCAUUUAGCAUUGGUUACUCAUGUGCAUGCAUUAAUUUUGAUAUGUAAUUGCAUGAAUUAUUUCUUAAAUUUUAUGUGAUUUAAUAUUACAAUUAGACCCAAUUAUUCUAACAAUCUUAAGACAAGUUUAUGGUUUGAUUGCUAUGUUUGUUUGAGAAUUAAAUUAUCCGUGAUAUAAUACUUGGUCCCUAUAGGCGUGAAUUUUCUUCCUGAUUAAUUCUGUGGGAGAAUGGUCUCAUAUCUAAUCUUGCAUAUGAAGAAGUGGUCUUGUUUUGUUUACUGCAAAAAUAAUUAUUAUAUUCUUGGUUAGUUGGUUACCUCUUUGCCUUGCAUUGAAUUUCAAUUUUGUGAUGCCUGAGCGUUAAGGUUACGAUGCUUAGUGUGAACUCUUUGUUUGACUGGGGCAAAUUUUGUAUGUCAACUAAGUUAUUAAUGAAUUUUACUUUUGGAAGAAAUACAUUGGGUAAAAUUAAGGGAACUUUAACGAAAAGCUCAUGGUACUGUUCACUUUAACGAAAAACCAUAUUUUUACACUAAAAAGUCAAUCCUGGUACUAUUCAGUUUACCCUUUAUUUUGUCCUUAUUAUUAAAACUCAAAGUUUUCAAACCAUUUUCAUUAGUUUUCCUUAAAAUUAAUUAAUUUGAAUAAUAUAUGAAAUGGUGAAACGCUUUGGCUUUGCAAACCGUGAGAGUGUUGGGUAUAGUAAUCAAGAUACGGCUUCACUCUAUUAUUAUUAUACUAAAUAUCCUGACAUUAUUCUAAGGACACGAGUUUUGUUCGUUACGUAUUAGAACAUAUACCUACGUGAUUUUUUGGGAUAUAUGUAUUUCCCGGAAUCUCUUGCAAUUGUUUAAGAUAAUAGUGAAUUGCACACUUAAAUCUCAUUUGGUAUUUGUAAACCAUGCACCUUUUCAAUCUAGAGUUACAAUUAAUUAUCAGAUUAAUCUUGUCUCCUACGCAUCAUUUCACUUGGAAAAGGUACUAUGGCGAUGGGGUAUCCAGUCUGGAUAACCGCAUAAGGAUCGUUUGAUUUCGGUCAUGUAUCAAGCAUCUGCAGAUUGUGCAGUCACCCAACAAUUAUAUAGUUGGUAAAGAGAAGGUGUUUGAACAUUUUCAGGACAAAGCAUGAUAGUAGUAUCGUGUAUAUUUGUUGCUAGUGAUCACAAUAAGGUGAUGAUGGUCAUUAAAAUUGAAGCAUAAAAUGCCUAUGCUCCUUUCGCCAUAAGGUGUUGCCGGGCAUUAGAAGGAACAUUUGCAGAAACUGCAGACUUCCACACUUGCUUGAAUAGGUGCUUCAUGCAUAUUAUUGUUUCAUGUAAGAUGAUCACAAUGAUCAUCAUUUGGUGGUUGACAGUUAUCUCAAGGUGAUGACUUGGCCAACAUUACAGGCAUAUGCAACUCUUGGUGAAAAAUGUUAGUGUGCAAAGGGCAUAGUUUUCACUGUUAAUUGCCUACAAGGAAACAAGCAGAGUUUGCAUCUUUAUUAUAAACACUGUGAUUAACAAAGGAAAACAACAUUGAGAGAAAGAAAAAUAACUACUCCCGCAAAGGGAAGUAAGGUAAAGACAAUUAUUUCCGAGAAGGGAGGUACAUGGGAGAAUAAUGUUUUGACUUCGAAGUGUGACUACUGAAAUUGGUGUUGUCAUUGAUCAAAGCUAGGUAUAGCCAUGAGAACUCGAUAAGUUUAUAGGCUAAAUGCAAAGUUCAAAACAUGUUUCUCCGGGAAGAUGCUAUAGUGAUACUUUAAGGCAUAACAAGUGAAAAUAGAUAAAAACAAAAUAUCUUCAUUGGUUCCUACUUCUUAAGUAUGAUGAGUUAGUAAUUGAUAGCAUUAAAAAGCAAUCACAAUGUAAGGGAAUUGUGGGGGUGGCUUAGCUAUUUUUGAAAAAUGAUAUACUUAAGUAUAAUGGAAAAGUAAUUUGCUUCAAGAAAAGUGAUAUUCUUUAAUUUAAGGUAUUGAAAGGUUAGAGACCUUCCGAAAAAAAAAAAAACCUUAAAUGUGGGGGAAUGUACUCGAGUGUUAGCAAAUUACUUUUUAAGUCCUAACAUAUGUUUUGAAGGACUUAGCGUUGGAAAACAACUACUCUCGAAUGAAUAUAAUUUCAUAAAUGGAAGUGCGCACCAUAAGUGAUAGUCAUCAACCUAGUGGAUCCAAUUAAUUAAAGGUUUGACUAGAGAGUAAGUUGUAUCAUCAAGGAGAAUGGGUUAAAAGCCUACGUCUUAAGAAUCGCCAUAAUGGCAACCCAACCUAGCUGACUGGAGAUCCCAAGAUCUAGGUUCAAAGGGACAACCGAAUUGUGGAUGAUUCAAUGGGAGCACUACGGAGAUAAUCUCCUACCUAUGUCCUAUGAUGAAACAGUGCUAUCUGCAGUGUAUUUAGGAUUAGCUUUGCUUUUAAUGAUUCCUAUACCUGUAAAUAACAAGUGGGGUAUUGCAAGAUACUCUUAAUGGGAAGUCACUUAUCUUGAGUGAUGAGUGAGACCGUUCAUGUGAGAAUUUUUUGAAGGGCUUAGUUCUCUAAAAGCGCUCAUGAGAAACCAAGAAUUGUUCAGGGCCAAAAUGAACACAACCGAGCAACCAUGGGGUGUCUGGAAGGGUAUUGUGUGAUUCUUAUUGUCUUGGUUUACACAAAUGGCUGAGCAGUUCAAGACAUUACGUUUAUUGAUUAGCCAAGUAAAUCCGAAAGUAAUUCACUACGGAAGGUUUAAAGCCAAAAGCCACAUAUCCCGAUGCGGUACUUUUCAUACUGAAUUCUCUCUCUAGUGUCUGCAUUGUCAUUUGUAUGGUAUUGAGUCAAUUUCCAUUCAUGUGGGGGAUUGUUGGAAAAUUUAAUAAUAUUAUUAUUAUAUUUAUUAAUUGAAUGGAAAUUAGAAGUGGAGCCUUUUGGUAGAAAGAUGUGUCUAAUCAAAUGAAGAGUUGCAUCUUUUGACUCUUCAUGAAUAGUUACAUGUUUUCCAAAGAGUUAUCUCACAUUCUAUAAACAAGGAAGCCCCCUAUAAUCACAAAAUAACUUUUCAUCAUACAUAUAUACAGUGCAUUAAAUAUUAGAGAGUCUCAUUGAGUUCAUAUGAGAGAGUUUUCAACACAAUCGUAGUUCAUGGAGCCUUGUGAUUUGGAGUGCUACUAUUGCAAGGACAUAGUCAUUGUAUCUUGGGAGAUAUGCGCCGAUCAACCAUGAGUACCAUGGUGGGAUGUAAACUUGUCUUAAGGACAAAGUGUACAACACUUGCCUCGAUCGUAUUUUCUAGGUUUUUCUAAUCCAUUGUGUCAUGUUCAUUUAACAUCAUGUGCAUGCAUUAAUUUUGAUAUAUAAUUGCAGGAAUUCUUUUUUAAUUUUUAUGUGAUUUAAUAAAGCAAUUAGACCCAAUUAUUCCAACACAUGAAUUAGGUAUAAUAUUAAUAAAAAUUAUAAAUGCAGUAUCAUCGUGUUAUCAUAUAUGUGAACAGACUAUAUCACGUCGGAAUUUGAUUUACUACCAAAAUGAAUUGAUUUUCUAGUCAUGAUAUUAAUCUGUUAGCCAUACAUGACUUAAAUGACUUAGUCGUUGAUCUCUAUUAUAUUUAUAUGUUUUUAUUGCGUUAUGGUGAAAGAAUUUGAAAAUUUAAAAUGAAUUGAUUUUCUAGUCAUGAUAUUAAGCUGUUAGCCAUACAUGACUUAAAUGACGUAGUCGUUGAUCUCUAUUAUAUUUUUUUUGUUUUUAUUGCAUUCUGGUGAAAGAAUUUGAACAUUUAAAACGAGCACCUUCGUACGUCCCGCUGAUGGGCUGUCGCGUCGUGGCUUCGUAUAUGUCCUUAUUAACACGAUCAUGGAAAGUUGUUCGCGUGAUAUUUGUUUUCCUCGGCCCACCGGUAGCCCAAUAACCAUAACCUAAAUCAUUGACUUUUCAAACCUAUCAUUGAUAAUGUGGGGAUGGCAAGAGUGUGGGGAGUAGUUGGGAGAUAAAAAUUACAUGACUUGCACACAUUCUACUAGCUAGAGGUUGACCCGGUCAGGCCGAUUAUUAAACUCUUAUUUCAUACUGUUUGUUUUGAGUUCGAUUUAUAGUGUUAGUGAAUCAUAUACGAUAGUGAUUAGAAAAGGUUAAAAUGUCCUUGUAAGUUUUUUCGGCUCCUUUGAAGAUAGAUUGUCGUAGCUUCUCCACUAGCUGGUUAUUUAACAAAAAAAAAAUUAUGUAAUAGUUUUUUAGAGCACGUAUAAUAUAAAAUGGGGUGUAUGAAAAUCAUAUCCAAAAUUUAUGGUGGAAGACUAUUGUCCCUGUUCUGUCUUGAAUUAUUGCCGUAAUGAAUAAAGUUUUUAUCUUCAACUUACUACUUUCAUAUUUAAACUCUCUCUUUUUUAAAUUUAUAUUAGAAUAAUAAUAUCGUUUUAUUUUAAUAGAAAGUUAUAUUUUUAGGUCUCACUAAUAUAAAGCUAUCCCGCUGCACAUUGAUGUUAGAUUAAAUCCUCCUCCCCAUGUAGUCCAACUCCCAUGAGGCGAAAAUGUCUUUCAGCUCCGAAGUCAAACGGUACGCCAAAAUAGAAUCGAAGGUUCGAAAAAAUGCAUUCAUAAGAAUACAAACUUAAAUUAAAGAUUUCAAACAUUUGGUCGUUUUUCACUGGACCAACUGUAUUAGAUUAUCCUAUGAAAUAUAUUGUUGGUGGGAAAGAAGACUGAAAAUAAUGAUUUGUUGUGUUAAGUUUGAGUAGAGUAUGAGCAAAGGCUAGUGCAUGUAAUUGGUGAAGAAUUGAGCUCAUGGACUGGGUGGUUUGGUUCGUUUCAAUACUGUCGACUAGUAUAACUUUGAAUGAUGACCAUAAAAUGUUAUACGACUUUCAAACACGUCAUUUGAUGAUUCCGUGGAGAGGUGAAGGUUACAUAACUGUUUUUCUUGUUCGUUUAUGGGAAAGAUAGGAAAGAGGGGAGUUUACUAAUUAAUUAAGCUAUAAUUGUAUAAGUUUCGUGCGAAGAUAAUUGAACUUAAAAUUAUAAUGAAAGUGAUACUUGUAGGGUAUAUAGAUUUUCACCCACAAUUUUUAGACACUUGCCUAUUUUUAGUAAUGGUUCGAAGUAAAUAAAUAAGCGAAAUUUUAUUUAAACCCAUGCAACCUCUUUUUACACCCAACUUAAAAUUUUGAAUGUUAAUUAUCUAUUUUACCCUAUUGCAUAAUUACUAUUAAAUACAAAAUGAAAUUAAUAAUAAAACUCAAAUUUAUCAAUAAACCCAAACACUAUAAUUAAACCCUACGAUCAUUCUUUGUUUAUCCUACGUUCAUUUUAACUAAAACCCUAAUAGCUCUCGUAGAGAAAAAUAAGUUUUUCUAUUGAUGGAUGGUGAUUUUGAAGUUUUGAAUCCUCUAACCAAGGUAUGACUCAAUUUAUGAAUUUUUUGUUCAUUCGAUUUCAAUUUUUUAGAGUUUAGAAGAUGAGUAUUUUGGUUAUAAUUUUACUUAGAUAAAGGGAAAGCUAAGUAAGAAUCUCUUGAACAAAUAUGGCAAACUACAGCGAAGAUUUCUUGAAUGAAAUGAUGAACUUACACUGUAGCAGAACCUAUCGAGGAGGUAUAAGCAUGUGCCUUUCCUAUCAGAAUAUGAGGAUUGUUAUUCACCUGCUAUAUGGGACAUGCCUUGGGUUUCAUAGCAAACAUGAAAUUUACACAAGCUCGAAAAUCUACUUAACAAUAGUGAAAGUGGUACUUGGUUUUGAGAGAAACUACAUCCUCAUCUCCCACAAGAUUUGAGACGUUGGCCAUCACUUCUUUGGGGAACAAUGAAGGAUCCACAUCCUGUUCAGCCCAACUGCCAAGCCAAAAAAAUGAGAAGAUCAGAACUUUCGAAAUCAACAGAUGAAUUAUGUGUCCACUCCUUGGAGUUUCUUAAACCAAAUUUUCCUGGAUUUCUUGUUCUUUUUCGAAUCAUAAAACGUCAUAGGGUAGAUAAGCAAGCCAACAUAAGUUCCAUACCCAGAAACACCAUCAACAAUAGCAAGAACUCCCCCAGCGGUCUGCAAAGGCCAUCCUAUUGAAUUGGGUGUAAAAAUAAAUUCACAUAUUGAAUUGGGUUUAUGGGGGUAUAUUAGGUAUUAAAUUUGGGUUUAAAGAUAUAUUAAUAAUUUAGUUAAAAAUCAAAUGGGUGCAAAGAGUAAGUUGGGUGUAUAAAUAAGUUAAAUGGGUUUAAAUAAAUUUUCCCAUAAAUAAAAUGGAAACAAUGAAAAGAUCAAUGAGAGGUAUAAAAAAAAAAGAAAAAUAAUGUGUGUUUAUCAUUUCUUUAUUUUUAUUACAUUAUAAAGGAUGUAUGCUAUUCAUAAACAAAGAUGCAACGACAUUCAAUAUGUAAUGUUUAUACAUGCUGUGCUGCUUGUGUGCAUGCGCGUUAGUGGGAGAUUACCAAAAGUUUAGGGGAAGAAGAGGCUACUCCUCGUCUCAAGGUCAGGGUAUAUCACACGCCUCUUUGUGGGCUAUUGAGUGGGGCUCAACCCUUUUUUUGUUGUUUUUUUACAAAAAACCCACCAAGUGAGAUUGCUUGUAGCGGAACUCAAACCUAAGCCUUAGUUUAUUAAAAAAAGAACGAUCUUUACCAACUCAAUCAACUCUCGUUAGCAAGAAAAUAAAAAUUCCAACUAACAACUAAGCCUUGUACAUGUAAUUGGGCUUCAGAGGAGACGUGAAGCCACAACCAAUAAUGCAAAAGGGGAAAAAGUACCAUGUUGUUGGUAAAUCAUUGAGCUGAAUUUGGCUUAGUUUGUCGCAAUAUUGUUUACAAGUCGAAAGCAUACGUGUUUAGUUUUGGUUAGCUAGAUUAUUGUGUUCCUCCUUUUGCAUUCACGUUUUAAUCUUCGUCCUUGUAUAUAAAAAUCAGAGUAAUUAAACAUAUACAUCGUAUUGUAAAAUAAAACUUUGUAUACACAUUUCUUCGUAUUUUUUAUGGUAAACGACAAAUUUUAUUACUAACACAGUAUAUGUACAUAAACAAAGGCCUAAUUACACAUAAAGCACAAAACAAAAGUUGGACCCCCAAUAGAACGACAAAAAAGUGCUUAAGUGAGAUCAUGUGCAUAACAUGUGAUAAUUCUUUAAGGGCAGAAAGUCAUUUAGCAAGACUUUCACACAAUAUACCCUUUGCACAGUCGCUGUUUAGAAAUUUAGGGUUUACACGCGAUUUGCAAGGUGGGUGUUCACUGAAACUUGGGGGAAAUUAACUUCAUAGUUUGUUGAUGGUAGAUUUGACAAAAUCAUUGAGAUUACAAAAAGUUUUGAGAGUUGAAGUUGCCUUUGGAGGUGCGCAGGUGGGGGAAUCGUCCAAAGUACUGUAAGUAUAUUUUAUAGGGAACUUUAACGAAAAGCACCCGGUACUGUUCACUUUAACGAAAAACCACAUUUUUACACUAAAAAGUCAAUCCUGGUACUAUUCACUUUACCCUUUAUUUUGUCCUUAUCAUUAAAACUCAAAGUUUUCAAGCCCUUUUCAUUAGUUUUCCUUAUUUUAUACCUUUUGUAAUUGUUUGUUUAAUAGGAAGAUGUCGGCUUUACAUGGUUUUUUUUCUCUCUUUUAUAGCUUUGUAUGAGAUUUCGUUUUGGUUUCAAAUUGUGGUCAAAUGUAUAUGUGGUCUUAAAGAAAAGCAUGUGGACCUUAACACGGAAAGAAGAAGAAGGGAAUGGGUGUGCCAGGCAACAAUUGGAUUUUUUUUAACAACUGAUGUAUAUGAAAAUGAAGAUGCUGAUGUAAAAAUAGAUUUUUAGGUCUAAUUGCCAUCUACCGCAAUCUUAUUGAUACAGAAGUACGAAAUCUAGUCACUAAAGAAUCAGUUUGAGCCUCCAUUUGGUUAGGAUUUGCCAAUUAUAACUUGUAGAUGAUGCGUUCAACAAUGUUUUUGAAUUUGUUGGUUACUACCUUGCAGUUGCUUUAGUCAGUUUGUCGUCCCAUAUCCUUUUUUUUUUUUCAAGUUUUGGAUCAAAAAUCUUGUAAUACCACUCUGUAGAUUCUAAUACUCUCCAUGGGAUGUGUUAUGUUAUUUUUUUUGUUUGUUUACAUUGUAGGGAUUUGAACCUUGGGCCUUUUAUUAUUUUAACAAAAAUAGAUUUUUAAUUAUGUGUCUUUAUUUUUGUAGCUAAGCCUGAUUUAUUCACAAUAGAGAUUCACCAUGGAGGUCAUCUUAAGGAUGGAGAGUAUGUUGGUGGUCUUGUACGGUGGGUGGACAACUUCGACGCUGACUUAAUGUCUAUGCUAGACAUAUAUGAUGUGGCUGUAUCACUUGGCUACAACCAUCUACAAACGGGGUUUCACUACAAAGACAAAGUAAAAGGGUUUGUCCCUCUUAUUGCAGAUGCCGAUGUUAGUGAAUUUGUUUCUCAUAUACCUUCAUUAGGGUUCAAGUUUUAUAUUUGACAAAUAAUGGUCAGUGGGGUGAUGGUUGGGAUAAUUGGUUUGAGACAGAAGUGUUGGCAACUGACUUAGACAACCAUCUUGUAGAUGCUACAGUACAAUGUGAAAAAGGUGUGAAUGUUGAAGCUAGUGUGAAUCAAAGAGUUGAUGUAAAAAUAUUUGAUGUAGAUGCUGAUGAUGAAUAUGAAAAUGAAAAUGAAGAUGAUGAAGAUGUUGGUGAUGAUGAUGAAGUGGGAUCAGAGCUUGAUACGGAGGAAGAUGAUGGUGCAAGAAAGGAAAGUGAAAAUGACUUUGAAUAUGUUGACUCUGAUUAUGUGCAAUCUGAAAAUGAUACUGACGUUGUGAAAGAUGAUACUCUAUUUGAGAGGUUUGUGGUUGAUGAGGCUUUUGAGGCAUCGCAUAAAGAGCCUGACGAAAUUUCUACUGAUGAGUACAACUAAGAGGAGCUGCUAAGCCUUGAUGAAGAGAAGCAUUCAUAUGAAGAAGGUAUUGUUGUGAAAAAGGUUAGACGAAAGAGAAAAGCUCCAAGGUUUAAACAAUUCAAAAGAAAGACUGACUUGUUAAAUCCAACCUUUUAUUUGGGUAUGGAGUUUCCUGACAUGAAGGCAUGCAGGGAGGCUGUAAGGUACUAUUCAGUUGCUAUUAGUAGACCAUUGCAUUGGAGUAGGUCACAUUUCAAUACUAAUGCAAAGUGUGAUAUACUACUCAACAAUUUGUGUGAGUCUUUUAAUGCUGCUAUAUGGCUAGGGUUCGAGAGACAAUUUGGAAUCAUGAAGUUAGGCCCAGAAUAUUUGAAAUAGUUGAGAAAUAUAAAAUUGAAAGUUUUUUAUGCAUAGCCUCAUAUGCUGGUGAGGGAAAGUAUCAGGUGAACCAUCUUCAUGGUGGUAUGUAUGCUGUUGAUUUGGAAGGUCAUACAUGUUCUUGUCGAAAGUGGGAUUUAUGUGGAAUCCCAUGUCCACAUGCUAUUACUGCAAUAGGCAAGAAAGAGCAUAACCCACUUGAUUAUGUUCAUUCUUGUUAUAAGAGGCCAGCAUAUGGCUUAUGAGGGAUACAUUUCUCUGAUGCCUGGUCCAAAAGAGUGGAGGAAAACAGGCCUUGUGCCUAUCAAGCCCCCUUUGUAUCACAAACAACCUGGGAGACCUAAAACUUGUCGAAAAAAGGAAGCUGAUGAGAUACCAAAAAAGGCAACAAAGUUGAAAAGAUAUGGCAUUGUUAUUAAUUGCAACAUUUGUGGUGUUGAUGGUCAUAACUCAGCAACUUGUCGCAACAAUGAGCAUGUAUUUCACUUUCACUUAAUUGAUUUAUGAUAUUCUCAAAUUUUGACUUGAACUUAAUUUAGUUCUCAUAGUUUCACACGCAUUUCAUUGAAAUUCCCAACUUUAUUGCAGAUGGAUGGAUAAGGAGGUAGAAGAGGAAGAGGAGCAAGGGGAGGUAAAAGGAGCAAGACGACAACGUGGAGGAGCAAGAGGAGGCGGAGAAGCUCUAAACUUAACAGGGGUGAUGAAAACCAUCAAUUUAAGUUUUUAUUUUUAUUUAAAUUGGUAAAUAAACUAUUGUUAACAUCAUUGAAUUACUUCAAGGUUUAGGAGGUAAGCAAGAUCAAGUUGAAACUCAUUCUCAAGUUCCAACUCAAGCUCAUUCUGAAUGUCCAAUUCAAUCUCAAUCUCAAGCUCAAAGGACGACAAAUUUUUCUGUAAGUACAUCAUUUUCUAUUCUAUAGGUAUAAAUGAAAAUACAAGAGGAAGGCAUGAAUCUCAAGUGAAGUUUUUAUAUUUCAACUGAUUUAUGUUAAUGCUUUAACUGAUAUUUUUUUUAGGUUACAAGAGAAGGGUAUGUAUCUCAAGCAGCACAACCUUAAGUUGUUGCUUCUACAUCACACCCUCAACCUUACUCAGCCAUUAGAAAUGAAAAUAGGUUUAGGUACAAGAUUCCAGCCAAACGAGGAAGGCCAUGGAAAGUGUAGUUGAUCUCCACGUGUGAUGUGCAUUUCGAGCAGAAUGUUUGUGCUCUUGUUUUGAUAACUAAAACCUUAUUUUGCUUGUGUUUGUUUAAGUGGAAUGCCCAUAUUUUGUAAUCCAAAUUAUAUGGGUUAUAUACCUUAUGGAUGAUAAAAUCUCUUAUGUUUUCCAACUUCUUAAGGAUCAUUUUGUGGAAUUGUAUUGGGAUUAUUAUGACAUUAUGAAAAGUAUGUAAUUAUCUUGAACAUUUUUUUAUGAGUAUUUUGAACAUGUUUCUUGUAUUAAUGCAUUGCUUUGGAGACAAUAACAUCAUGAGCAUUUGUCAAAUUAUUAAUUUGUUAGAGAAAAUAAAAAUGGUAGUACAUGCUUCAAGAAAAAUACUAACUUAGCUACUUAUGAAGACAAUAACACCACAUGUCAUUUUUCAUGCAUAGGACGAUUCCCCCCACUGCGCACCUCCAAGGGCAUCUUCAACUCUCAAAACUUUUUGUAAUCUCAAUGAUUUUGUCGAAUCCACCAUCAACAAACUAUGAAGUCAAUUUCCCCUAAGUUUCAGUGAACACCCACCUUGCAAAUCGUGUGUAAACCCUAGAUUUCUUAACAUCGACUGUGCAAAAGGUAUAUUGUGUGAAAGUCUUGCUAAAUGACUUUUCUGCCCUUAAAGAAUUGUCACAUGUUGUGCACAUGAUCUCACUUAACAGAAAUAUGGAUGGAAAAUCGGCUAAAAAAAUUAGUUUGAGUCCUUAAUUUUCCAAUAGAAAAGUUCAGGGGGGAAAUCGAAAGUUAAGUGAAAGUUCAGGGGGUAAAUCGACAGUUUACUCCCGAUUUUUAUUGACUCAUAUUAUGAAGUCAGUAAAUUAGGUACUCCUCAGUGAGUACCCAAGUAUUGUCCGAAAGACAGCGGGUAAAACGAAGAAAACCGAUAUCAGAAAUGAAAACAUUUCUUCAUAUUUUGGUGAGUAUCCAUUUUCACAAUUUUUUUUUUUUUUGUAAAAUCAUUUUCACUAUUUAGGAAAAGGACACUGAUAAAGUAUAAUCUUGAAGAAAGGCAGGCUGCACUGGAAAAAAAAAAAAAAAAAAAAAAAAGCAAAGAAGCACAUGGAACAAUUCAAUAAAAAGCAGAAUCCAACACUGAUAAAAGCAGAUUAUAUAAGAACAAAAGAGAUCAAAGUGCCAGGGAGACAAAAUCACGGUUCUUUUUUCCUCCCUUUUUUUGUGUUGUCUCGUUCUUAAUCUUCUUUUCAAAAAGUGCAUUUCCAGCCAAAGUUUCGGACAUUUUACAUGUCAAUUCAGACUCCAGCACCAGUAGAUGGAGAGAAACUUACAAGUAAACGAAAAUAUGGAGUAUUCAGUAGAGCUACCGCACUCAGGCCGUAAGUACAAAAGGUACGGUUCAAGAACAACGGGUGUGACAAAAUACAUGGGGACGGCUGGUUUUGUGUGAGGCGAACGAGGCAAAUAGUAUGUGCCCGAUGUUUUUCUCCACCACCAAUAGAGGGACAGAAACUUAAUCACCUACAAAUGAGAUAUGAUUGUGACAGUAUUCUAAACUAAUAUAGGGUAUCAUGUUUUAACUUUUUCAUAUGUCAGUGUUUGAUCUGCUUCAUACCCCACCAUCGUGGCGCAAUUAUACUUUUUAGCAUAAACCUCCCUAUGCACGGAGUUGAAUGAAACAAUCAUGUGAAGAAAAUAUUUCAUUGAGAACAUGAAUAAUGUCGCAAGAAAAAUGCUACAAUCCUUUUUUCUCGUCCCAUCAAAAUUCAUCAGAAAAAUUCAAAAUCUAAGUAUGGACCCGAUGAUCGAUUCGAUUCGGUAGCCACCUUGUUGUUUUGAGGCACUGCGGACUUGAAUGUGUGACUUAGAGUCGCAAGAUCAAACGGUUUUGGAAUCUCCGGCGGGCGCGUGCCGCGGAUGAGAGCCCAAUUUACGCUUGCAAAGAAGGGGUGCUGUUUAAUUUCUGUGGCACCACGUUUAAAUCCAAGUCUCUUUUGAGGGUUCUUCACAAGUAAGCCCCGGAUCAAAUCCUUCGCAGCGAAACUAACGUUGAAUCCAUCCGGAAACUCAAGAGACUGACCGACCACGUUGAACAAUGUCUCCCGGUUACCAUUCCCUUUGAAUGGCGUCUUCCCAUGCAGCAGCUCAUACAAGAAGAUACCGAAAGUCCACCAAUCAACCGCGCUACCAUGACCGUCACCUCUGAUUAUUUCGGGAGCUAAAUACUCGUGUGUCCCAACGAAUGACAUAGAGCGCGCACUCGUUGGCUCAGCAAUAAGUACAGGCAACGAAUCUGAAUUUCCAAAUCCUACUCUUUCGGUUUUCUCCUUGGUUGAUUUGGAGCUAAGAAACCGAGGCUUAAAGCAAGAGGGUUGCAAACAAGCAGGUUGAACACAAACCGGCAAUUUGCACGAGGGAUCAAUGCAUGCUGGCUGAAUGCAGUACGCAGAUAUUCUACAAGACGGAUCGUCGCUGGACUGAACAAGAGUCGGACUCACGUAACAUCUCAACGAUAAAUCGAAGUCGGAAAGCAUGAUAUGGCCGUCCUCCCUCACUAGUACGUUUUCGGGUUUUAAGUCCCUGUACACCACGCCCAUCAUGUGGAGAUACUCGAGGGCGAGAAGCACUUCUGAAGCAUAAAACCUGCAAAACAAAAUGCAAUUUGAUAUGAGCAAAUGUUUUUACUGUUUGAUUGAGAAGUUAGCAUCAAAAUUAACCGGAAUUAGUUAUCAAAUCAUUGGUGGUGGUAGAUAAAUCUUUCAAGCAUUACACUGAAAGAGAUUUACAUAAACCGGAUACUUCGCUAUGAAUGUAACUAAUACAGCAUGUGAGAAAGUUAAAACAUAUGACAUUUGUCACAGUUACAUGGUUAUCGAGCUGACGGUUUCGGGAUCUAGGUCCAAGCACUUAAAAGGGUGUUGUGGCUAUGAACAUAAAAAGAUAGUUGAAAAGUGGAACAACUCGUGAUCUUGCUAUACCCAUAAAAGCUUCAAAAGCUAAUGAAAUUUCUAAAUAUUUUGAUUGCAAAACCAUUUGGAAGGAGAGACCCUUUUCCCAGCGUCAAGAGUACAAGAGUUAAACUAAAAAUAAAUCACUUUUUAUUAUAAUAGUUUUUUUUUCUUCUGAAAAUAGACUAAUGGUGGCUUCAUCACGGUAAUCUAUCUUUUUCAAGGUUGAAAGGCUUCUAGUGGCUGGCAUUUCAGCCUCCUACUGACCUGACCACCAAGCCUCCUCCUCAUGACCAUCAUCGUGUGAAUCAUACAAACCAAUAAUCGAACCUAGAACAUGUUGCGUGGAAUACUGGUCUAAAAUUAGUCCUCAACAUCUCGGGCAACACGUGAUUAGUUUGAUAUUGCUGUGCUGAGAAAAUAAUCACUUUAUUUGUUGCGUAAGAUUGAAAUUUUUUUGGUCUAAAUCAUGUGAAUAAAAAUUAGCUGUGAAAAAAAAAAAAACAGUUAAGCCUAAUCAAAAUUAAAAAAAAAUCAUUUUAACCACGAAAAAAAUUAGAAUACCAAACAAACACUAAGAAUUUUUCAUUUAUAAGACGAUAUUAUAAACCAUUAUAAUUUACAGAGAAAAUAAACGUGUAGCGACGAAAACAAUGCCUUGACCAAAAAAUUACGACGUCCUUAAUAUCAUCAGACCUACAUAAUAUGUUGCAAAUUAUGGGACACUAACCUCGCUGCUUGUUCAGUAAAAUGCUUCCCGGGCUGGCGCUGCCGCAGCGUAUGCAGAUCGCCGCCGCAGCAAAACUCCAUUAACAAGCAAGAAAACUUAUCGGUCUCGAAAUUCGAAUAGAGGGUCGGAAGAAACGGAUGGUCCAGCAACCGUAAUAUGUCUCUUUCCGUCUGAGCUCUGAUCAGCUUCUUCCUUCCCGCCAACAUUCCUCUGUCCAUUACUUUCAUGGCGAAGAAGCAACCCAUCCCUCUCAGCUCCGCCAAGUAGACGCUUCCGAUGUCGCCGCAGCCGAGCUUCUUCAGCAGCCGGAAAUGGCCGAGUCCCAAGUCUCCGUCUUUGGAUUUCACUGAUUGUAUCGCGUCCCACCGCGCGUCGUUGCCUUUGUGCGGCUUCGACGGGCAGAAACUCCGGAAGCUGCCCUCGUUCGGGUCGGACCGGUUGGAAUUUCCCAAGUGGGUUAAGCUGCUUUUGUAACUUUCGUCUUCGCAAUCGGCAUUUUCGGCGUUCUUGUUUGCUUCCGGAGUGCCAUUGCUGCUGACCUUGGUGCUGUCGGAGCCAGAAACGGUGCUGCUACACAUGCUGAUGCUGAAGCUGAGAUCUUGGAGGCUGCUGACGACGGAUUCGCCGUCGUGGGAUUCGGCGGAGUGGGGUGGUUUGUCCAUGGUUGAGAGGUUGCGGAUGAAGUGUUCGAUGAAAUGUCAGAGAGAAAAAAACUGGGGUUAAAAAUGGGUGUUGGUGGUGGGGUGGGGGACGGAUGGGGGGGUGACCGAGGUGGUCAAAGGGAGGACGAGAGAGAUGCGGGCGCGAAGAAGGGAGCUGAGCGUAGGGACCCAAAACAGAGUGUAUAAAAACGGUAUUCAAAUUUGAAAUCAGAGCGUGAGUGUGGGAAGAACGGGGUGAGAUAACCAAUGUCCAUUUUCUUACUCUCUGCCCCAGAAAAUGUUACAGCUUGGAGACAAAACACAACACCGAGAGAGAGAGAGAGAGAGAGAAGGAAACAGAGAAUCCCUGUUUACGAGGACGACAAAAGCCUCUCAGAUUUUUCUAAUGAAACCAAAAGUGCAAAUGUAUAUUAUACACCUCCUCAGCCAAUACCGUUAUUGCCUUCCCCCUCUGGUUUGAGUGUUUGGUGCCAUGUGAUAAACCCACAUCAGGUCUCAAGUUUGGGUUGGUGGGUUGUUCGUGAUUAACUUGAAAUAUCGUCGCGGUGACAUUUUGAUAUAUAGAAGUUUAUCUUGUGACGGAUUAUGAACAGUUUCAGUGUACUGUAUCCAGAAUUGAGUAGAUGGUGAAUAGCAAAUUUGCAAAGUGCAAUUGAUGCAGAGGAUGCAGUGUGGAUACCAUUGGAUAUUCUUGACAGCUAAAUGUGGCAGGAGAAGGAGAACGUAAGGUAAACCACCCUGGACAAUAAUUACUUUUCCAUGUAUGUGAAUAGAUUUUACUAAAAAGAGGCAAUUUUUUAUUUUUUAAAUUUCUGAAACACAUUUGCAGAGACCAGAAUAAGAAAGGAACUCAUUAUUUAUUAAUUUGUUAUAAAAAGGGCAAGAAAUAUCACCAUUGUUAUAACAAAUAGGGUGGUGUUAUUCACAGACUUAUUUUUACCUCUCACACACCACUCUUAAUUUUCGGUUGCGAAUCGAAUGAAUUGAUCGAAGGAUAGAGAUUAGCAAGAAGUAUGUAAGAAAUAAAAAUAAGUGUGUAAAUAACACUACUAUAACAAAUAUUAUUUGGACUUUGGAAAGAAUAAACAAUGCACAAAAACUGAGGGGGUCAGGUCAGAAUCCUGGGUUGAAUUUCUUGGUUACCACAUUAAUUGCACUGAUGAUUAUCUGAGAGUUUUUGUAUUAUUUCAAUUUUGAAAAGAAAAUAAGUUUAGAAUAAAGACUUCGCUCCUGAAGGUUUUAGCCCAAGUGUAAGCAGGAACUCCUGCUGAAACCUUCAGCAGCGAAGCAGCGCUCAUAAGUUUAUAUUACACAAAUCAUUCAUCAUCAUUGUCCAACUGUUGGAAAGCUUUUGCCUUUCUCCUUUCUAUAUAAAGAAAAGAAACUAAAAUGCAAUCGGGUGUAUAAUUUUUUUGUGCCUAUCUCGCUUUUCAGUGCCGUAUCAUAUGAAGAGAGAUAUAGGAGGAACAAAAACAAAGUGAUACACACUCGACUGUAUAUUUUUUUGUCCCUAUCUCGCUCCUCAUGUGCUGUAUCACAUGAAGGGAGAUAUAGAAGGAACAAAAACAAAGUAAUACACACUCGAGUGUAUAUUUUUUUGUGCCUAUCUUGCUCCUCAUGUGCCGUAUCACAUGAAGAGAGAUAUAGAAGGAACAAAGACAGGGUGAUAUACACUUGGUUGUGCCUAGAACUUUUCGCUAUGAAAUUAGAGAACUUAUGGCACAACGGAAUGCAUAUAAUCUUGUAUCUAUCUCGCUUUUCUCAUGAUAAACACAAAAUAUACAACCGGAUUCACCGAAUAAUUUACCCUAUGAAAGAGUGACCUUAAAGUUAGCACUGCUGAUAAUUACCUCUCAUCUGAUGUUUUACAUGUGACCUAUUAUUGGUGAUUUUUCUCUGCAAAGGUAGUUAGACAUUGUAUUGCUUCUCAUGAUUUGUCAACAGAGGUCAAUGUCCAAAUGACAAUUUAAGAACGUUGCUUAAAGGGUAACAUUACUAUAAUCUUGUAUUAAUUAUGUACGAAGAUUGUCCACACCAAACCUUGAAGUGCAAUCCAACAAGAAGCACCAUUUAACUUUACCUAUAUAUGUAGCUCCUAAGCAACAUUGCAUUCCACCUGAAUAUAUGCAUCCAAAACAUGAAGUCGCCUGACUUUGUUGCUGCUUUCUUUCUGUUCCUAGUGUGGACUUUCAUCUUUUUUGGUAAGUUCAUAUAAACAAACAUGUUCGUUUAACAGUUUUGUUUGUCAGGGUAGUGAUUUUCAUACUCCCAUUCUCUCGGUAUGUACUCCUCCCUAAGGGAAACAAUGUUGGGGGGGGGGGGGGGGAAUGCGAAAAUCGCUUUCCUUUGUUAAAGCAGAUUCAUAUUUUUCAGUGUCUAAACUGUUCUUGAACUUUAUUGUUACUAGUUUUGAAUCAAUAUGUUAUAUUGCAGGUCAUGGAACGGCACAGACAGUUGCGUUUUACGUACACAACAAGUGCCCCUUCAACAUAUGGCCAGCAACUGCCCCCAACGCCGGAAAGGCCGUGAUAGCUGAUGGUGGCUUCUACCUCCCCGCUGGCAAGACUCAGCGCGUUACUGCCCCGUGGUCAUGGAGCGGUCGGAUUUGGGCGCGAACAGGAUGCAACUUUGUUUCCAACGGGAAUCCUGCUUGCGAAACAGGAGAUUGUGACGGACGAUUAGCAUGCAAAGGGCUAAUAGGCAAUCCACCAGUGACACUAGUGCAAGUUUCAGUUCAAGGCGACAAAGACAAGCUGAAUUUCUACGAUGUGAGCGUGGUUGAUGGAUACAAUCUUCCGGUCGUGGUCUUAUCAAAUCCAGUAGCAUCCAAUUGCACUAUCGGAGGGUGUUUGAAAGAUUUGAAAACUCGGUGCCCCAAAGAGCUUAAGGUUUUAAACAAGAAAGGGGAAGUUGUGGCGUGCAAAAGCGCUUGCUUGGCGUUUAAUACGGACGCGUAUUGUUGCCGGAAAGAGUAUGGAACCCCAGAAAAAUGCAAGCCGAGUGUGUACUCAAAGUUAUUCAAAGAUGCUUGCCCUUCGUAUUACAGCUAUGCUUAUGAUACACCACCUCCAUUGGUGACCUGCAAGGCGAGUAAGUAUGUGAUCACAUUUUGUCCUGCGGGGUGGGGUGCUGCUGGUGCUGGGUAUAUCUCCAUGUAGGUUAAAGACUAGUUUGCCCCAUGUUGUGUUACUUUGAAAUUCGGGUGUAAAGGCUAAUGUACAAUUGAUAAUCAACACCACAAAUAAUGUUGUUGGAGAUUUAACUGUUACGUUUAUUUUCGUUGGACACUCAAUUUCUCCAAAUUUUAGGGGGACAAAAAAAUCUAGGAAUAGUCUGACAACUGUCCAAACUAUUCAACUCAGUCAAACCAAACCAAUUUGAGCAAUUUGGUUCAAAUUUUACGUUAAAGCAAUGAAAUCUUAUACGAAAAGACUACUCAAAAUUAACUAUUUAGAAUUGACUUAAACCGAACUAAACUGCCAAUAUUACUUUUAUUAUCUUCUUAACACUUACAUUGGGUCAAUGUGGAAAUUCUUCGUGCCCUUUUUUCUCACGAGCUUAAUUAGUUAAAUCUCAACCAUUCACACUUAAAAAAAGUAUGAAUGAGCAAAGAUCGAAGUCAGUAUGCGAUUUGAGGGUUUAACCAAACCAAACCGGAUCGCUCUCAGCCCACCUUUAGGUUAAACUAGCCCAAAAGAUAAGUUUUUGGGUUUCAUUUGUGGACCUUAUACCAUGUGGUAUAGAGAGGCCAUUACAUUAUGAAUACGUAUUAAGUGAAUACAAGGCCCAUUUAUGUCUCACGGCCCAUAUCAAAACCCAGAAGAUUGGCAUUAGGGUUUUUACAUCUCAGCCGUUACCUUAUAAAUAUUCUCUCCUGCAGUUCCAAACCAUCGUCUUCUUCCUCUUCUUAUCACUCUAGGGUUUCUCUUCAACCUCUGCACACGCACACACUCCCUCCGCCGCCCCUCGGCCUCUCUAUCUCUUUACGUGUGAUUUAGUUAGCGUGUUUUACCGCCCCGAUUUUAGUUCUGUGAUGUGGAAGGCGAAUCAGGUGAUGAAGAAAAUACUGCAACAAUAUGAUGGAUACGCUCCAUUUUCCAUGAUUCCUAGUAUUUAAGUCUCUGAUGAUUUCUUUCCACUCUUCCAUUUAUUUAUUUUAUUUCAUGAAUUUCACAAAUUUAAGCCUAUUUAUUUUUCAAUUGUGAUAUGAUGAGGAACUUAUUGGUCCGUUUUUCUGAUUUAACCGUGACCGACAACCCUUAACCAUCUCUGAUCGCUCUUCCAAUUUUACCAAUUUCAAAUUUUCGUUAAAAAUAUCCGAAAGUUUUCUAAUUGUUCUUCAUUUUUUUCUCUGCUGUGAUGAUUUCUGAAUUAAUUCACAUGUCAGACUUCAGAGAUUUAUUUAUUUUAAAUCAAUGAGAAUGAAAAUUCAAAUUAUCUGAGCAGAUCGCAUUCACAAAAAAAAUUGUUAAUUUAUGAUUUUUGCAUUUGUGAAUUUUUAAAUCAUAAUUUGUAUGUAUAAGUAUAAAAUUAUCGAUGAUGACAAAAUCGAAGGCUUGUUUCUCAAGAACAUUCGCAGUGGCCGCCUAAGAGCUUUCUCCUUUCGCCGGGCUUGAGAGCUUAUGCUGCUUUUAUCCUUCCUUGGAUGUCUGAGAUUGACUUCCUUGCAAUUUGUUUUUAUUAUGUUUGAUAACGAUUUCGUUUCAGUUUUUGAUCGUGCAACAUUCGUGAAUUUUGACGUCACAAAGAAAGCCUUCCUCGGCGGCGUUCCUCCCAUAUUUCCGUUCGCGGGAGCUCCUCCGACGUUGUGCGGCGUUUGCUGUCAGACUUAGGCCAACCAAUUUCUCUAAGAGCAUUUUCCACCCCCCCCCCCAAAAGACUUUAAGCUUGAGCCAUCCAGCGCAUUUAUCCACUCAAGGGAACAGUAAUAAACCUUAAUAUUUAUUCACUUUAAGUGAACAGAAAUAAACCCAAGUGAACAUUAAUAGAUCAAAGCAUCUUCAUCCCUAACAAAAAAUAACCUAGUUAAUUUUAUUAAAAUAUUAUUAUAUUACCCCUUUAGACCAACCAAUUUCCCUUAGGUCAUGCUUUUUAACUCUAUAGUCUUACAAAAAAUUAUAUUUUAAUCAAAAGUGUUAAGUUAUAUUUUAUACCAUUUUCAAUCGAGGGGAUCAAAGGAUCAUAGGCGAAACAUAAUCAUUUGACAAAAAACUACCUCAAACCGAUGGGGCCAAAGGGUCAUAGGGUAAACAUAAUUUAUUUUUUUAAGUGUCAUAUUUUGAGUGUCACUUGUCGCCAAAUGAAUAAGCUUUCAAAUUUCUUUUUAUAUAAUCUCAAUAAUUUUUUGGAUAGGAUUUUAAGUGACAUGUGUCGUUAACAUAAAUAACUCUCCAGAUUUCUUAUCUUUAUGUAAUCUUAAUAAUUUUUUGAAUAAGAUUUUGAGUGAUACGUGUUCCUAAAGUGCAUAAUUCUCCAGAUUUCUUAUCUUUAUUAAUCUUAAUAAUUUUUUGGAUAGGAUUUCGAGUGUCAUUUGUCAAGAUGUAAUUUGUUGUGCAAAUUUUAGAUAAGAUUUGUAUCUACGUGACAUUUCUUAUCUUCAGUUUUCAAUGUUGUAUGAAUGGUGUAGGUAUUUAUAAGGAAAAAAAAUUAGAAUUUUUCUUUUUAAAUUCGUCCAAAAAAAACAAUUCAAAUUCUAACAACUAGCUGUUUGCAUUCAAAUGGACUGAGCUGGAGGGUUGACAAAAUAUCAAGCUUGACAUUCUAGAGCUGGAGGGUUGGCAAAAUAUCAAGCUUGUCAUUCUGGCACUAGAGGGAUGGUUGGCUAGCUGGAAAUGACCAGCCCACUGGCCUGAUUUGGGAGUUUUGGCCUAAUGGAACCCAUAAGCCAUUUGGGAUAACCCUCUGUUGGAGAAGAUUUUCGUGUCAUUCCGAACUAUUUUUAGCUCAAUGAUCAUUUGGUCGGGUUGAUUGGAGAUGGCCUUAUAAAUACAUUUGGGUAAUGCACAAAUUUCUCUCAUAAAUAUAUUUGACAAAAUUAAGAAGAUUAAAUUUGUAUCAAAAUUUUUUAAAACAAAAUAUAUAAAAUAUACUAAUAUAAAAACAAAAAUGCUACGUUGCUUUAACAAUUUAAUAUCUUAGUUUAAAAAUAAAAAUGAUAUGAAAUAUAUUUUAAAAAAAGUUGAGUGUUGAAGUGGGACAAGGAUUACUUGCCUUCCUUUUUUUCAUGCCCUUCCAUACCUUUUUGUUUUGUGUGAUCACGGUUAAGCCACGUUAAUAUUUUAUAUUAUUUUUUUAUGAAGAUAACAAAAUAAAAAUGAAUAAUAAUAUCAAAUAUUAACGUGGUUUAAUCAUGACCAUACAAACAAAAAAAAGUAUGAAAAGACAUGAAAAAAGGGAGGGCAGACAGUCCUUGUCUGUUGAAUUGUGGUGUGGAGAACGGAGAAUAAUUUAUAUUGUGUUGGUCAUGCCAACGUAUACUAAUUGGUGACAGAUACUAAUAGAAAAGGUCAGAAGCCGGUGUACUCAUCCUAUUUGAUUUGUAGUGAAGGUGAAUCAGCAAAGAAAAAAAGUAGUCAAGGUGAUUGAUGUGACAAUGCAAUUUUUAUGAGACUUGGAUUGUCUGCUCUCCAAUUUCUGUGCCCUCCUGUUUUUGUGGUCACGGUUAAGCCACGUCAACAUUUUAUAUUACUAUUUCGUUUUAUUUUAUUAUUUUUAUAAAAAAAUAAUAUAAAAUAUUGACGUGACUUAACCGUGAUUACACAAAACAGAAGGGCACGGGGAGGGCACCUAAAUGGGAGGGCAGACAAUCCAAGUCCAUUUUUAUGUGUAAAGAAGGUAGAAUUUAGAUUGGGACAAUGAUUGUCUGCCCUCGAAUGCCUUCUUGUUUAUGUGGUCACAGUUAAACUAUGUCAAUAUUUUAUAUUACUAUUCAUUUUUGUUUUAUUAUCUCUAUAAAAAAAUAAUAUAAAAUGUUGACAUGGCUUAACCGUAACCAUAUAAAACAGGAGGGCACGGGAGGGCAUCGGAAGUGGGAGGGCACACAAUCCUUGUCAGUGGACCUGACUUCUCUGCCCUCCCACUUCUCAUACACUCUCAUCAUCUUCUAUUUGUGCGGUCACGAUUAAGCCACGUCAACAUUUUAUAUUAUUAUUGUUUUUGUCUUUAUAUCUAUAAAAAAAUCAAUAUAAAAUGUUGACGUAGCUUAACCAUGACAACACAAAAUAGGAGGAAUGAGAGUGUAUGGAAAAUGAGAGGGCAAAGAAGCCGGGUCCAUUUAGAUUAGGUGUGCAAAAUUUUUAAUUAUUACACACUCACAAAUUUUUUGAUAUUCUAUGUUUACUAUUAAAUAGCAUGUAAAAUUUUAAUAAUUAUAUUGGUCCAUUUUGAUUGAGGUAAAUUAAUAAACUGUUUAUAUAAAAUUAUAUUAUUUUUAAAGAGGCGUGUUUAAUUAAGAUUAUAAUGGAUUUUGAUGAAUUAAAAUUUAUGAAUUUUAAGGUAAGAUGGAAAAGAUAGUUAACCAAUUUAAUUUUUGACACCUUGUUCUAAAAGGUAAUGAAAUAGGGAAAUUGAUAUUUCCCGGAAUCAAUGAAUUCGUGCUAUUGAAAUUUGAUCCAUGUCUGUGAACGUACACAAUAUUUUGCAUUGGUCAAACUUGGUAGGUGUGGAAAAAGCUAAAUUCAGAUAAAUCAAUGGUGGCCAAAUGGAAGCUGCCAGGAAAUUGAGUUGAUCAGAGCUUUUACUUAGCUGGUCACACUUCUCUCUAGGCAGUCCUCUGUCUUGAUCACCAAGCCAAACUUCCUCAUCAUCUUCUCUAUAUAACUUCGCCUUCUUAUCAAAUCUCCAUCAGAGAGAUUUAGGAUGUGACAGUCGCACCGCUACGUAAUUUCUUCUUGAGAAUACUGUUACUGUCGGACUGUCACUUGAUUUCUCCUUCACCGAUGGCGAAGAUGGGGGAUAUGUGGGGGCAGCUCGGCUCGGUGAUGGCGAGCAUGGUGUUUGCUUAUGCCAUGUUCAAGCAAUUCUUCCCAGACAAUCUCGGCGACAUCCUUGAAAAAUACUGUCACAAAUUAGUAGCCUAUGUCUACCCCUACAUCCAAAUCACCUUCGACGAAUACAACAGCGACUUUUACCGGCGGAGCGAGGUCUACUCGGCCAUCCAGAACUACCUCAGCACGAAAUCCUCGACGCGGGCGAAGCGCCUCAAGGCUCAUGAGGUUAAAGGAAGCAAGGCUUUGGUUCUAGGCAUGGACGACAACGAGGAGGUCACCGACGAGUUCGAGGGCAUCAAGCUCUGGUGGGCGUCCAAGAAGAGCGCGACGAAAAAGGCAUCCUUUUCGUUCUUUCCCGAUUACGAUGAGAGGAAGAUGUACAAGCUGACGUUCCACCGCCGGCAUAGGGACGUUGUCAUGGGGUCGUAUCUUGACCAUGUGAGGCAGGAGGGGAAGGCGAUCGCGGUUAAGAACAGGCAGCGGAAGCUCUACAUCAACAACACCGGAAAGGGCACGAAGUGGAGCCAUGUGGUGUUUGAGCAUCCGGCGACAUUUGAGACAUUGGCGAUGGAUCCGAAGGAGAAACAGGCGAUAAUUAACGAUCUUUUGAAGUUCGGAAAGGGGAAGGACUACUAUAAGAAAAUCGGGAAGGCUUGGAAGAGGGGUUACCUCCUUUACGGGCCACCGGGGACAGGGAAGUCCACCAUGAUCUCCGCCAUAUCGAACUUAAUGAAUUAUGAUGUCUAUGAUCUAGAGCUGACCGCGGUUAAGGACAACACCGAGCUGAGAAAGCUGCUGAUUGACAUAUCCGGUAAGGCGAUUAUUGUGAUCGAGGACAUUGAUUGCUCGCUUGAUCUUACCGGGCAGCGAAAGAAGAAGAAAGUAGAGGAGGCCAAAGAUGGUGAUGAAAAGGAUCAAAUUCUGAAAAAGCCGGAAGAAGAAGAGAACACAACUAGCAAGGUGACUCUUUCGGGGCUGCUGAAUUUUAUCGAUGGCAUUUGGUCUGCGUGUGGAGGGGAGAGACUGAUCGUGUUUACGACUAAUUAUGUGGAUAAACUUGAUCCUGCUCUGAUUAGAAGAGGAAGGAUGGACAAGCACAUAAAACUGUCCUACUGCUGCUACGAGGCGUUCAAAGUUCUUGCUAGGAAUUAUUUGGAUUUGGAAACGCACGAGUUGUUUGGAACCAUUGAGCGCUUGUUGGGAGAGACCGACAUGACACCUGCCGAUGUUGCGGAGAAUCUGAUGCCAAAAUCUGAUGUCGAGGAUGCUGAGUCGUGUUUGAAGAACUUGAUUGAAGCGCUCGAGGCUGCCAAGGAGGCGGCGAGAGUGAAGGCGGAGGAGGAAGCAAAACAGAAGGCGGAGGAAGAAGCGAAACUGAAGGCGGAGGAAGAAGCGAAACAGAAGGCGGAGGAAGACGAAAAGGAGAAGAAAGAUGAAUCUACCAGAGAGGAAGUGAAAUGUAAUGGAACAUUAGCUGAAAAAGUUCAGGAAAAUGGUGCCACCCCAUUAAUAAUCUAAUCUAAACGAAAAGAUUAGUAAUUUGAAGUUUUUUUUUUUAUGUCUUUCAUUAAUUUCAUUACUAUUUAUUAAAGUUUCUUAGAAGUUUUAAGGCUGUAGUUAUCGUUUGCAUUCUCAAUUGAUGAAGCUUUAUCAAUUAGGAUUUAGUGUUGGUUUUUUGCACCGCCAGUGAUAACCUCUUUUGUAGUAGUGAACUAUCUAAGUGUUUUAGUGAUUCGCUACCAUUAGGAUAUUUAGAAAAGUAAUUUGAUGCAAUUUUAGUCGGAAGGUUCCCUGAAAUUGGCGCUGGCUUCUUGUGGUUAAUAAUUGUAAUUUCAUUUAGGAUUAACACCACGUCUUAAGGGUUGCAUGGUUUUUCAAAGGGUUUUUAUAAAACUUAAUGAGUCUUUCAAGUUCAUAUUUGAUUUGAACAUCCAAACGGAUUUCAUGUUAGAUAUACGUUCUAUGUUGGAGGUUCCAAAUAGAAUAUAUCUUAGGAAAACUUAACAUUAUAAAUAUGCAUGGAUAAUUCAUAAGUAAUUGGAAGAACUACGUAGGAUUGCUAAUGUGACGGAUGAACCCUAGGGCUUUAAAGUGGUUUCUAGUUGACUUAUUUAUUUAUUUUUAAUUUAAAUUCGUUUUUAUUAUAUUAAAUUCCAAAAUCAAUAUUUUCAAAACUUUGUUUUAAAUAAUUAAUUAAGAGUUUGUUUUAAACAUAAAUUAUUCAUUCAAUCCCUGUGGAAAACGACUUUGCUUGAGCUGCUACAAUAUAUGUUGGUUGAUCGAACUUUUAAUCUACAUUAUUGUUGCAGUACUUUACGGAAAAUUUUGACUACUAUAAUCCUGCUUACAACACUAGCGUGUUGAAUGAAAGAUUAUGACCUCCUCUUCAAGUUCCAAGAAGAGUCCAAGUCCAAAAUCCAUCAUCUUUCAGCCCAAAAGUCACAAAUAAGCUCUACAACCCCAUCUACCAGCACUGAGCAUAAAUUAAUUCUUCACGAUUAGAUGCUUAGGGAUAAAAUUAUGAAAUUUUGACACAACCUUCUUGGCAGAUUCAUGAACUGGCUCCAAUUGAAAUCACUCAAAAAUUCCACCGUUUGAUUAUUUUAUGCUCAAAACAAGUUCGCAUGUAGGGGUGGGUUCGGUUUAAAUCGGUUCGGUUUUUUGCUAAAACCGAAACCAAACCGAAAUUUCGGUUCGGUUCAUUUUUUUUUCUGUUUUUUUCUGUUCGGUUUUUUUUCGGUUCGGUUUUUUCCGGUUCGGUUUUUUGUUUUUUUUUUUCAAAAAUGAAAAACAUUGAAAUUUUAAAUUUUAACAUAUCCAACACAAUCAUAACAUAAGCAUUCUAACUAGAAUCAAAGACAAUGAAAAUAAACAUUUAAAAUUGAACUAAAAUCAUCAAUCAAGUCUUCCAAAGUCCAAACUAACAACCUCACAACACAAAAAUCGUACAAAUGACUUAGAAAAGUUAAAUUGUAUGAUGUUGUUCAAAGAUCAAGGUUGUUUGCUUGUAAUUGCAUGUUGACAACUUGAUUAGUAAAAAAUAAUGCGUGGGUGGAUUUUAUUUAGUGUGUGUUAGAGAUUCUUUUCCAUCACAAAUUACCCAAGUAAUGUACCCGAAAUAAAUGUUUAUGGAUUCUGUUACAUGUUAUAUGAGAGUAGAUUUGGAAAAGAAAGCUAGGGCAGAAGUAGGCAGUGCUAUGGAGAUGGAUGUAGGUACUUCUGAAGGAGGUUUGGUUCCGUAACCUUAUAUGGGAGAUAAAUAAUAGGUUAGGGUUUAGAGUUUUUAUAGGCCUUUUUAAAAUAUUUUGAGCUUAAAGUUUGGCAACACAUUGGGUUUAGCACAUUUUAACUAACAAAUUGGGUUUAGAAAAUAAUACCCAAAACAAAUAAUUAAAUAAAAAAAUUAAUUUAAUUAAUUCGGUUCGGUUCGGUUUUUUCAAUUCGGUUUGGUUUUUUCGUUCGGUUUGGUUUUUUCGGUUUCGGUUCGGUUUGGUUUUCGGUUUUUGGUUUUUUGAACCCACCCCUAUUCGCAUGUCCUACAUUAAAAACACAUAGCAAAACAUCAAAAUCUCACCAAAAUAAUAACUAAAAUAUACCAAGAAUAGGAAAUAAUAUAUACUAUAAAAUCGACUCAUGGUGAAGGACAACACUGAGCUGAGGAAGCUACUGAUUGACACGUCGAGUAAGUCUAUAAUUGUGAUUGAGGACAUUGAUUGCUCGCUUGAUCUUACCGGACAGCGAAAGAAGAAGAAGGACAAGGAUGAAGGGGGCAUGGAAGAAAAGGAUCCAGUUCGAAAUAAGAUGGAAGAUGAAGAAAACACACAGAGCAAGGUGACUCUUUCAGGGCUGCUAAACUUUAUCGAUAGGAUUUGGUCAGCUUGUGGAGGGGAGAGACUGGUCGUGUUUACGACUAAUUAUGUGGACAAACUUGAUCCUGCGGUCAUUAGAAGAGGAAGGAUGGACAAGCACAUAGAGUUGUCCUACUGCUGCUUCAAAGCAUUCAAAGUGCUUGCUAGGAAUUAUUUGGAUUUGGAUUCACAUGAGUUGUUUGAAACGAUUGCGCGUUUGUUGGGCAAAACCAAUAUGACUCCUGCUGAUGUUGCUGAGAACUAGAUGCCUAAGUCUGUUAUACAGGAUGCUGAGUCUUGUUUGAAGAACUUGAUCGAAGCUCUUGAGGAGGCAAGAGUGAAGGCCGAGGAAGAAGCGAAAUUAAAGGCAGAAGAAGCAGAAAAUGAUAUGAAAUAUAUAUAUAUAUUUUAAAUUGAGUGUUGAAGUGUGAUGUGGAGAACGGAGAAUAAUUUAUAUCGUGUUGGUCACGCCAACGUAUACUAAUUGGUGACCGAUUCUAAUAGAAAACGUCAGAAGCCGGUGUACUCAUCCUAUUUGAUUUGUGUGAACAAGUGAAGGUGAAUCGGCAAAGAAAAGAAAGUAGUGAAGGUGAUUGAUGUGACAAUGCAAUUUUUAUGUGUAAAGAAGGUAGAAUUUGUAUUAGGUGUGCAAAUUUUUUAAUUAUUACACUCACAAAUUUUUUGAUAUUCUAUGUUUACUAUUAAUUAGCAUGUAAAAUUUUAAUAAUUAUAUUGAUCCAUUUUGAUUGAUGUAAAUUAAUAAACCGUUUAUAUAAAAUUAUAUUAUUUUUAAAAAGGCGUGUUUAAUUAAGAUUUUAAGGGAUGAAUUAAAAUUUAUGAAUUUUAAGGUAAGAUGGAAAAGAUGGUUAACCAAUUUAAUUUUUGACACCUUGUUCUAAAAGGUCAUGGAAUAGGGAAAUGGAUCAUUUCCGGAUCAUUUACUCCUAAUCCACCAAAUCAGUAGAUCUGUGACAUUGAAAUUUGAUCUAACGGUUACAAACAGGGACCCACUUUAAAAGUUAUAAUAAUUUCAGCUUUUGAAUUAAAUUUUCAUGGCACGGAUCCACUGAUUUUGUGGAUUAGGAUGAAGGAAUCCGGAGAGGAUCCCUUUCCAUCAAAUAGCUUUGUAAGUAAGUUAGGAAUGCCAUUACUAAUUUGUAGGGCGAGUGAGAUUCCUCAUGUUAGGUGGGAAUUAAAAGGAACAAUGAAUGAAAUUGUUCUCUGUGGAAGUGUUUGUUUGGAAUAUUUUUAAAAUGAUUGAAAAUAAUUUUUUGUAAAAAUAUUUUUGGAAUUAAUUUUUGAUAAAAACGUAAGUAAAUUCUUUUCUCAGAAUGCACUUCAAGUACUUUAGGAAUCAAAAGAACAUUUUGUCUAACAACAUUUUUAAUCAUUUUAAAAGCAUUUCCAAACAAGUGCUUGUUUGAAAUAUUUUUAAAAUGACUGAAAAUAAUUUGUUUUAAAAUUAUUUUUGAAAUUAAUUCUUGGUAAAAACGCAAGUAAAUCAUUAUCUCAGAAAGCACUUCAAGUGCUUUGAGAAUCCAAAAACAUUUCAUCUGUUGAUGCACAAAAUCAGCGAAGACUUUGGUACAACAGAAAGUGUCAGGUUUUGUGACAUUCGCUUGGUUGCUUCGGUCACUAGUGAGGAUAAGUACGUAAAUGAAUAGAGACAGAGAAGCAAACACAGGAUGUACGUGGUUCACCCAGAUUGGCUACGUCCACGGAGUAGAGGAGUUCUUAUUAGUAGUGAAGGGCUUACACAAGUACAAAGGAUCAAGCUCUCAAUUUAGUGAGUUCUUGUGAAUGAUUUAACACAAAUGUCAUUAGGCAAUAUUGUGGGGGAAUGACCCCUAUUUAUAGAAAAACUUGUAGCUUUGUCACAUUGACAUGUGUCAUGUUAUGAUUGGUUCUUGAUGUCGACACGUGCUGCGCUCUGAUUGGCUUCUAAUCUUGACACGUGUCGAGUAGUGAUUGGCCUCCUGGUCGGAGGGGAACUCUUCUGGGUCCUUGACAGUAUAGCGUUGGCCGGUGCUCGGUAGUUUCGGGAUUGGUCAAGUAUGGUACAAACAUCAUCUAACAACGUUUUUUCAAUAAUUUUAAAAGUACCUCUAAACAAGUCAUGAUCAAAUGCUCCAUGCUCAAAGACCAAAAACAAUUCCUUGAAAAUUGAGUAGUAAAUGUUAUCGUAUACAAAAGUAUUCCAGUAGCCAAACUAAUUUUACUUCAAUUCAUGACCGUAAGUAAAUAAUUUAACGAGAAAACCGCUUUCUGUUUCAUAUUCAUAUCGAUUACCUCGUGACCUAAGUUAAAUCGAUCCCCCGUGUUAAAAAUAAUAUAUUUUUUAAUGUUUUACUAUAUAUUUUAUAUAAUACGUGAAGUAUUCGUUUAAAUACUAAUAUUUAAAAAAAAUAUCUUAUAAUCUUGGUCAUUUCAAUUCCAUGUAUGCGAACAUGCACAAUAUUCGGUCAAACUUGGUAGAUGGACAAAGCGAAAUUCAUAGAAAUCAAAGGUGGCCAAAUGGAAGCUGCCAGGAAGUUGAGUUGAUCAGAGCAUCUAGUUAGUUGGUCACACUACUCUGGAGGCAGUCCUGUGUCUAUAUAACUUCGCCUCCAUUUUCAAACCUCUAUCAGAGAGAAUUACAGCGUAAUUGUUGAAUUUCUUCUUGAGAAUACUGUUACUGUCGGACUGUCACGUGAUUUCUCCGUUCCCCGAUGGCAAAGAUGGGGGAAAUGUGGGGGCAGCUCGGCUCGGUGAUGGCGAGCAUGAUGUUUGCUUAUGCCAUGUUCAAGCAAUUCUUCCCAGACAAUCUCGGUGAUAUCCUUGAAAAAUACGGUCAGAAAUUAGUAGCCUAUGUCUACCCCUACAUCCAAAUCACCUUCGACGAAUACGACAGCGACUUUCACCGGCGGAGCGAGGUCUACUCCGCCAUCCAGAGCUACCUCAGCGCGAAAUCCUCGACGAGAGCGAAGCGCCUCAAGGCUCAUGAGGUUAAAGGAAGCAAGGCUUUGGUUCUAGGCAUGGACGACAACGAGGAGGUCACCGACGAGUUCGAGGGCAUCAAGCUCUGGUGGGCGUCCAAAAAGAGCGCGUCGAAAAAGACAUCCUUUUCGUUCUUUCCCGAGUACGAUGACAGGAAGAUGUACAAGCUGACGUUCCACCGCCGGCAUAGGGACGUUGUCAUGGGGUCGUAUCUUGACCAUGUGAGGCAGGAGGGGAAGGCGAUUGCGGUUAAGAACAGGCAGCGGAAGCUCUACAUUAACAACACCGGAAAGGGUACGAAGUGGAGCCAUGUGGUGUUUGAGCAUCCGGCGACGUUUGAGACAUUGGCGAUGGAUCCGAAGGAGAAACAGUCGAUAAUUAACGAUCUUUUGAAGUUCGGAAAAGGGAAGGACUACUAUAAGAAAAUCGGGAAGGCUUGGAAGAGGGGUUACCUCCUUUACGGGCCACCGGGGACAGGGAAGUCCACCAUGAUCUCCGCCAUAUCGAACUUAAUGAAUUAUGAUGUCUAUGAUCUAGAGCUGACCGCGGUUAAGGACAACACCGAGCUGAGAAAGCUGCUGAUUGACAUAUCCGGUAAGGCGAUUAUUGUGAUCGAGGACAUUGAUUGCUCCCUUGAUCUUACCGGGCAGCGAAAGAAUAAGAAAGUAGAGGAGGCCAAAGAUGGUGAUGAAAAGGAUCAAAUUCUGAAAAAGAAGGAAGAAGAAGAGAACACAACUAGCAAGGUGACUCUUUCGGGGCUGCUGAAUUUUAUCGAUGGCAUUUGGUCUGCGUGUGGAGGGGAGAGACUGAUCGUGUUCACGACUAAUUAUGUGGAUAAACUUGAUCCUGCUCUGAUUAGAAGAGGAAGGAUGGACAAGCACAUAAAACUGUCCUACUGCUGCUACGAGGCGUUCAAAGUUCUUGCUAGGAAUUAUUUGGAUUUGGAAACGCACGAGUUGUUUGGAACCAUUGAGCGCUUGUUGGGAGAGACCGACAUGACACCUGCCGAUGUUGCGGAGAAUCUGAUGCCAAAAUCUGAUGUCGAGGAUGCUGAGUCGUGUUUGAAGAACUUGAUUGAAGCGCUCGAGGCUGCCAAGGAGGCGGCGAGAGUGAAGGCGGAGGAGGAAGCAAAACAGAAGGCGGAGGAAGAAGCGAAACUGAAGGCGGAGGAAGAAGGGAAAUUGAAGGCGGAGAAAGAAGAAAAGGAGAAGAAAGAUGAAUCUACCAAAGAGGAAGUGAAAUGUAAUGGAACAUUAGCUGAAAAAGUUAAGGAAAAUGGUGUCACCCCAUUAAUAAUCUAAUCUAAACGAAAAGAUUAGUAAUUUGAAGUUUUUUUUUUAUGUCUUCCAUUAAUUUCAUUACUAUUUAUUAAAGUUUCUUAGAAGUUUUAAGGCUGUACUUAUCAUGUACAUUCUCAAUUGAUGAAGCUUUAUCAAUUAGAGUAAACGAAUCGCUAUGAUUAAGACAACAAAAUCCGACAAUUAUUCAAAGAACACGCGUAUUUGCAUGGUUCGGCCAAAUUAAUUGGAGGCUCGGAUGUCAAGAGCUUGACAUUCUUCAUCCCCUUGUGAAGGUGAAAGAAUGAAAAGUAUGGAGUGACUUGCUCUCUUAUUAGUCACUUAACUAAUUUUUUGUUUUCUGUGCACCUUGGACCAACCUGUCAAACAGAGUCAACAGUAGAAGAGCAGCUCCCAUCUGAAAUUUCUUUCUUUCUGUGCACUUUGGACCAACCUGUCAAAAUGCAACCUUGUCAAACGGAAUCAGCAGUAGAAGAGCAGCACCCAUCUGAAAUUUCUUAAAACUAGUCUUUAAAAUUAGAGAAAAGGAGAUUCAAACUCGGGAUUAAAAAACACACAUCUGCUCUAAGUACUUAUUCACCAGCCAAAGGAAUGAACCAAUGCCCCUUAUUUUUUUCCACCAUUCAUUAGUCAUGACAAAAAAAACCUAAACCUUCAAGAGGUUUGGAAAAAAAUAAUGCAUCCACUCUAAGUAGUCACUAUUUUGUAUCACCGUUCGACUUUAUAGAGCAACGGAAUAGACGACGGGCGGUGACCGUUUGCGUAUUCACCGGCCAACGGAUGAACCAAAACCCAGGGACAUAGAGAGCCACAGGACUGGCUGUGCUACAGCCCGUUCGACAUUUUUAUCUUCUUCUAAUAUCAAUUAUUGGGUGGAAAAAACAAAGGAUAUAUGUUCUACUGUACGCACUGAUCCCACUUGUUGGGUUAUGUUGUCUUCAGUGUCUCUUGCUUUUGUUAAUUUAUAUGUCUUUUGUUGUCCUUCGUUGUUUAGGUUAUUUUUAUUUUCUUCUUGAAACGUAUGUGGUUAAUUACUCUUGUCACUUGAUUAACAAGUUUUGGUAAAUUAACCUUUGACUAUUGGGAUUAAGGUCCGGUAAUAUGUUAUUUAGUAAUACGGUCUAGACUGUCUAGUAGUAUUCUUCUUUACAAGUUGAAGGUCUUAAAGCUAGAAUAUUUUAAACGACAAAUUUAUUACUAAUUUAUUAUGACUGGACCAUUGUAUGAACUAGGGCUAGUUUGAGCUUUGGUAAAUGUUGACCCUAGAAACUACCAAGCCUAUGUGGCGCGCAGGCCGAGUAAUCUAUAAGCUAACUACGUCCUUCGGUGAAUGCGGGGCGUGCCAACUCGUCGGCCGAGCUCGGCCGAGGAGUAAAUUUUGUUGAUGUUGCGUUGGGCGCGCGGCUGACUUCUGCGUCUUGCGAUUGCGGCCGAGAAAGGAACACGUCUCGGCCUCUUGGGCUCUCGAACCUGAAGACAAGGUUACUAUUCUUACGAAGUUCACGAGUCGUCGUCGUCGGAUUCAGUCACAGUGAUGUUAUUCGUCAGAGUAAACUCACGCCGAAUCGACACCAGAGUGUAAGGGCACAAAUACUCAAAGCAAAUAUAAGUUUUAAUGGUGAACGUGGUUCGGCCGUCCGAAUGCCGAACUCUAAAUCCCACUUGAGAAUAUCCAAUCAUAAAAUAACUCGGCAAGCAAAGUGCCGAGCUCGAUAUAUCGUAACACCUCACUUCGCCGAGAAGGCUAAUGAGAUGACCUCAAUCAAUAAGGAUCCGAAAAUCCUCCUUGACCGAGACUUGGAUAGGUAAUCAACCGUUCUCGCCGCAGUGUUGUUGAUGCCAACGGAAGAUACUGCGAGAUCGACUGAUUCUACGGUGACAGAGCUAUCUAUGCCGACUUAAGAUAUCGCCGGUUGCUUUCACAGUGCUGUUGAUGCCAACGGAAGAUGUGUCAGCGAAAAAGAAAGAAAAAUCUCAAGUUGUUGAGUUUGCGCAGGGCAGUUUUGUAUUGAUUUGCAGGGGGCUUUGAAUGAUGCGCAACCUCUUCUAUUUAUAGCAACGGCUCCCCCCAAGGUCGAGUUAAAAACCUACUCGGACUAAGUCUUCUUCUCCUGAUCAGCACCAACUCGACCAGUCCUACUUUCACUAGGAUUGUGAACCUAGUCCUUAACCGAGCCGGAUUCGCUUCCGGGUCCUGCCGAGACUUCUCAUUGCAUUAGGACUCGACUUCUUGCGUUAUGACCUAGCCGACCUAGGUUUGGAGGCCCACAUACUAAACGAUCCAUGGUAUUCUUGUCGCAAGGCCUUCUGGGCCGAGAAUGAUUCUAUACUCGGCCCAAACUAUUAUUUUGGGCCCAAACAUUGCCCUCUCGCUUCUGAGGUCCUCGGCCUGAAUUUGUUGGCCGAGGUUUGGCCUUCAAGAAGCGAAUGUAAUCCUCAGAACCCUAGUGUUCUAUUUCUAAGGCGCAUUUAUUGAGCACGAUUGCACGAUCUUGAUCCUGCUAACCAACUCGCCACGUGGCGUCUUCUAACACGACCAAUCCCCAAUAAUGAUGUCUAAGGCAUGCGGCUACCUGAACCGUCGUGCCAUCAUGACCUUAUGGUUGAACCUAGCCACUCUACCUCAAUCCGUGAGCCGCUUGUCAUCGUGUAGACGUCGAAACGUCUUUCGCCAUUAAUCUCGCCAUCACACGCAAUCGUGCGCCCCCAAAACCUAAGACCCUCGGUCUUCUCAACUGCAUUUCCUAAAUGUUCAUCAUGAUUAGCGAUUCCUUCGGUCGAUUUUGCCCUUUGUUUUGAAAUUCGAACGAUUGCCCUUCCUUCCAAAAUCCUAUAAAUACUGAGAAUCCCUCAUUCAUACUUUACGCUUUCAAAAUCUCUCUGAAAUUUCUUGCCCUUGUUCUCCAGCGCAGUUCUUUUUCCAAGUCUUCGUCUCCAAAUCCCCCAACCCAGAAAAACCCCUUUUUCACCGUACCUUUUAAACCUCCUACAAUGGCCUCCUUCAUCUCUAAGCUUUCCAAGGAAUGUGAUCAGUGUCAGAAGAUUCUUGAUCGAAGCUCAAUCAAAACCAUACGGUUUGAAAGUGACAUGAGCACUUCUCACCAAAUCUUGGGUCCUCUUUUCAAAGCGGCAGUACCGUCAGCCAUUACUGGACUUCUCCAGGAGCAUUGCCUAUCACCCUUGCUCCAAGGGUUUGAAUGGUCGAGAUGGGAUGCGGCGAAACCUCAAGGCUCCUGGCCUUCGACCACCACAACCUGGGCAGCCUGGGUUGUUCGAAUGGAAAAGCUCUUCGGCGAGCAAUGGAAGGCCAUCGGCAUCUACGACGCCAUCCUCCUCUCAUCUAUGGAUGUCGUUUUCGACAAGGAGCUUCUCCUAGCCGCCCUGUGCUUCUGGUGUUCGGCCACCAACACCAUGGUUCUCCCCCUUGGUCCUAUCGGCCCCACCAUUCUUGAUGUCACCACCAUCUUGGGCACCUCGGCAACUGGAAUCCCCAUCGAUGCGGCCCUCUCCGGGUACUCGUCGAAUCUUGACCUGAAGACGCUUUUUGAUCGACGGGCUUUUGAGACAUUGAGCCGUGAGGGUCAAAUCCCGUCGAAAGAAGACGUUCAGAAACUCCACAAGAACUUCUUCAAUUACAACACCCUCUAUCUCCAUUUCUCCGGCCGAGGAGAAGAGGCCCUGCGAGAAGGGGAACAUGAAGCUUUCCUCUUCUAUUGGUACAACAAGUACAUUUGUUGUACCAAGUCGAACAAAUGCUUGGUCGAGAACAUGCCGGUAGUCGAGGCCCUGGCUAGUGGUCACGUCCUGUCACUUAGCUACAACAUUCUUACCCAUCUCCUCCGCUGCCUGGCCGAGACGACCCUUCACAAGAUCGACCCACACCAGAAUGGUCCCCUCUGGGUCUUCCAACUCUGGCUGCAAGUUUACUUCGCCUCCCUUCGACCGGCCAUCGCUGAUUUCUCACCAAUGGAAGCGCUCGGACCUCAGCUGGCCUCCCGACCGAUACCCCCUCACCAAGCCGAAGAUGUAUUUAAGUACUUUUUCACCCUUAAUGACCUUUUCAACGACGAAUUCCUGAUAUGUCGUCGUCGAGACUAUCAUUCCUCCAUCAGGCUACCCAUAUCCAUGUGGGGCGCGGACGAAGAUGCCGACCUUCGUUAGUCAUGGGGGUCGUUCGUGCUCACUCGCGACCUUCAUCUCGGCUGUGAUGGGAAACGAGCGGGUUGGGAAGUGUACCAUCCUAACUUCCUUGCUCGACAGCUCGGCUACCUCCAAGGCUGCCCGGUCCCCAUUCUUUCCUCCCGCACCGUCUUAAGCCGUGGGCGCGAACUGGGCUCAUCGGAAAAGGAAUGCACCAUCGCCAAGAGGGAGUUCCAAGAGCAAUGCCAAAGUUUCCACCUUCGACCGGCCACCCCUGAAACCCUCUGCACUGACACCUUCGGCGAUUGGUGGGAACAGUAUACCCAUGAGUUCUUUGGGGCUCUGGUCGAAGGUGUGUUGAACAAACUCUUUGGUGACCGGCCUAAGAAGGCCUCGGCCCCCCAAGCUCAAGGUAAUUUUUUGUUUUUUUGUUUUGUUUUUUUUUUUGUUAAUUUGCCUUGCUGAUUUGCUUUUACUUUCUCAGGUAGUCGGUCGUUGAGAAAGGUGGAGGUGGUCGCUGCAACUGCGGCCGAGAAGAAAUCGGUCAUUGCUAAGAGGGCCAAAACUGCUGUGCUGCGCAAACGGCCUCGUCAAGAGGCCGAGCCGGUCAUCGAACCUCCACCGCCUGCCAAGCGGGUUAAAAAGCUGGCAAAGAAAGGAGCAUGGGAGAUCCACGUUAUCUCCAGUCAUACUACGGAGAUGACUCCCGGUGUUUCUUCUUCUCCCACCGUCGGCCAAACCUUGGUCGAGAAACAGCCAACUCCGAUCGCAGAAACAGUCCAAGCCCGGCCUGUUUCUGAGGUCGGGGCACCCGUUGUAGCUCCAUCGGUCGAGACUGCGCCUGUCCUAGAAAAGGCAGUCCCUGCGACCGAGGGGACUUCCCUCGUACAUCCAAAACCUUCGAUUUUCAUCCUGGAAGAGAGCGAGGGGAGCGAUGAAAUUCCAUUGGCGAGUCGCCCUCAUCCCCACCGUCGACCUCUACCUGCGUCCAAGGCGGCCGUUCCAGUCGGUCAUUCCACGGUCGACCGUGGCAAACGACCGGUCGGAGAGCCAACAAUGGUGGCGGAAACGCGUGCUCCUCCGCAGGACCAGGACCUCAAUCCUGCAUUCGAAGUGGCUGUCUCGAUCGGCCCUUCCAUGGCCGCCUGUGGCAAGCGACCUGCCGAGGAGCCAGAGGCGACGGCGGAAACGCCCGUUCAUCCUCAGGACCAGGACCUCAAUAUUCCUUCCCAGGAAGCCACUUCGGCCUUCGUAAGUACCUUCCACCGUAUCUCCUUGAUAACUUUUCUGCUUUAGAAUUCUAAACGAGGAAAAUACUAAAUGUCAGGUGCCUAUACACUAUUUUCAUCGAAAAUUCUAUGCGCCGAAGGGUGUUAUCUAUAUUUCUUGGCCGCCUCAGUGGCCAUCGAACGUAGAUUACCUCCAUCGGCCGCGUGAACUGAGAAGCAGUCUAAGACACUGGGCUCGGCCAUUGAGUUCUUUAGGUUCGAGCAACGAUCCUGGAGACAUGGCCGAGGUCUCCUCUCGGCAGGUUAAAAAAAAUGAAACCUUCUUGCUAUCCUUUUCAUGACUUCUUUUGAGCUUAACCUGAUUUGUGUGUGCAGGCUUCGUGGGAGGUCGAAUUCAAAGCCCUCAUCUCCAGCACAACUGUAGGGUCUGGUUCUUCGGCCGCCGCGACUGAAGCUGCCGAUUCAACUACUCUAACUCAGUUGCGAGAAGUCUUGUCGCUUUCGGCGUCGCAAGUACUCGAGCGCAACGGUCUUGAUUUGCUCGGCACAUGUCUGAACGACCUCGGAGCUGACGGUCGUUUGAGCGGAGAUGCUAUCGUUCGAGCAUCGUCUACCUUGGAGCGGGUUCGAGAGACAUUUAGUAUCUUCCAAACCGCUCUAAAGGAUGAACAAGACUUGCAAGCUGCCACGGCCGUCCAAGACACUCUCCGUCCAAAAAUUGACGCUUUAAAGGUAAAAGGAGAAGCAUUGGCUGAGCUUGACCGUCAAAUGGCCGAACUAGCGAAACGUAGGUCGGCCAUUGCCUCCAAGCUUGCUAAGGACUUCGAGUCGGGCGGAAAAGAUUGCCUAACCGAGUAUGCGGCGAACACAAAACGGGUCGAGCGGUUGAAGCUGGAUAAGAGGAACCGGCAAGUCGAGGUUAUCAUGGGUGAGGUGCGAUGGUUGGAGUUGAAGGCCCUGCUCGGCACUCUUCUACCCUCUUCACCUUGAAUGUACUUGAAUGUAAACCGAUCGACUUACUCAUUUUGUACAUGCUUAUCAAUCUUAAUGAAUUGGUUUUCUAUUCCUGCAUUUCCCAUAUGACCGGAUAGUAUUUCUUUAAAAACUUCCCAUUGAUUGGUAAUCUAUGCACUACACCGGUUUGGUCUUUGAGAUGAUACGCACCUUUUCCGUAUACUUUAUGCACAACGAACGGCCCCUCCCAAUUUGGCGACCACUUGCCGAACCUAGGGUCUUUUAGUCCUACGGGUAACACCGUUUGCCAAACCAAUUCACCCUCGCCGAAUGUUUUCUGACGCACCUUUUGAUUAUAGGCUCGCUCGGCAAUACGUUUUUGUGCCACCAGUAAGUUAUAAGCGUCAAGUCGUGCUUGAUCGGAUCAUAUUUAUAUAUAUUUUUACUUCAAAUUUACCCGUCUUUUCUUAGUUAGUUCCUUAUAUUUUUUAGUUAUUUACGUUAUUUUUGUGUUUAUAGGAUUUGUUAUGCAAAGAAAAUAAAAAUAGAACAAGUUAAAUUUUAUGUAAUAAAUUCGUCAAAAGCAAAUUUAAAUUACAAUAUUGCUAAUCCAUUGUGACGCUAAAUGAUAAACCAAUAUUUAAACUUUAUAUUUCAUCCUUUUAUAUGUCUUCUCUUGUCUAAUUUAGUUGGAAGCUUUAAGUAUUUAUGAUACUUUUGAUAUUUUGUGUUUGUAGGAGUAACAUGAUUAAAAGAACUUAUUUUUCUGCUACGUGAGGCUGCUAGAAACUAAAUGAAAAUAAAGGUGCGUGGCUUUGCCAGAAAAGUGGGGAUUCCACUUAAUUUGCAGAAAAUAGCAAAGAAAUUAGAGAAGAAAGUGGAGAGCACGGGGGACAUCAAUGAUGGGGUUUCCACUGGUGGCCUUGGGGGCUUUGAAAAGAAAUCAUUGCCUUUUGUUUAAGGCAACAGACGGAACAGCUGGUUUACAUCGUGGGAGGGUGAAGAAAGGAAUAAAAAAAAGAACCAAAAGCUGCCUUUGCAGCUGGAGAGAACACGAGAGGGCAGCGAGGUCAGAGAGAAGCAGCAAAGCUUCAGUGCCAGCGCGGGGAGACUGUCAGAAGCAGGAGAUAUAAGGGGGCGGUCUUGGGGGAGAAACGAGAAGAAAAAGGGGGAGCUGCCUUUGGGCAGCUCGCAGAGACGCAAGGGACAGGGUGAGCACAGGGAGCUGCCCUUUUGGGCAGCGUGAGAGUGGAGAGAGCAAAGGAGAGAGGGCUGCCUUGGCAGCGUGUGAAGAAAAGCACACGGAACAGGAAUUGGAGAGCAGAAAGCUGCCUUUGGGCAGCGUGAGGGACAGAAAAUAGAAAGAAAAUAGAGGGAGGUCAGAGAGGUUAGACGAGAGAGCAGUGGGAGACGCGGGGGGAUAGAGGUGACUGACGAGAGAGGGAGCUGCCUUUGGCAGCACGGGGUCAGCGAGAAGAAGUCAUAGGGGAGUUUUGAGAACCAGCGUGGGAAAGGACAGCAGGCACGGGAUUGGAAGGCAGGGCAGAGGAAUAGAUACGGGACAGCCAAGAGAGGGUCAGAGAAGAAAAAGCUGCCCUUGCAGCCUUGAAAAACAGAAAGCUUGCGCGGACGGGAGGAGAGAGUAGCGCGGAUGGGAGGAGGACAGAGACAACGUCAGGUGGACAGAAGCUGCAAGCCUUCUCUCUCUCGGUUAAAUCUUUCUAAAACUUCUAUUUUAUUUCUAUUUUUAAUAAUGUGUAAAUAAAUUGAUUUUGGCUAGAGGUUAAUUCAAAGCCAUGAUUAUAUCUGUAAUAUGAAUUGAUUACCUUCGGUUGUGAUUUCAUAAGUUGUGAUUUCAAUUUACUUAUCCGUUCGUAUAAAAACUGAUUUGUGUAUGUUGGUUGAGAGUGCACGCUUAAUUUACAUGCAUGAAUUUGAUGCUAGAAUAUAAGUGAAUUUCACCUAAUCGUUAUGAACUUAUUUUCACAAGUAGUAAAGGUUGCUAGUCACAAUCACGUUAAGUAAAUUCUUGGCAAGAGUAUCAUGCUUUUCAUAGUUACGAAUGCCUCGUCAAUGCUUAUAGUUUUCACAAAGUUUAAUGAUCUUUGAUUGUAUCGCUAUUGUGCUUUUCACGUAGGGGACUUUUGAAGAAUGUUUUGAAUUGUUGUAUGUGUUUUUCCGUCCAAUUCAAUAACUUAAGGAAAACUUGAAGAUUAAAAAAGUGCUGUUCACGGUUAAUCUGGAGUAUUGAGAUUCACAAUUUAUUGAAGGAACAACUGAAAAUCAAUUUAGGUUGCAUAUGUGUCAUGUGUGGAGAAGAACCCUCUAGCUAGUCCGUCAUUUAUCAUUUCACCUUAAUUUCAUGUUUUUGUCAAUUCUGUAAUUUAAUUAAGUUUAAUUUAUUUUUCAUCAAAACCAAACACCCAUCCAUUAUUAAAUUAUAUUAUUUAGUUAGUUUUCAUUAUUGUUAGUCUUUCAAUUCGAUUUCCGUCCAUUUCAGUCCUAGUGUUUAAUUUGAUUAUUUUCAUUAUUUUGAGUCAUCCUAAGUGUGUUUCGAGUUAUUAGAGUUUUUAGCCUAGUUUUGUGUCCUUGAGUCUUGUUUAAUAUUUUUAAAUUAAUUUAGAAUAGAUUAGCAAUCCCUCCUAAUCCCCGGCCUAGAACGAUACCCUACUUACAUCUAUACUACAAUUGUCAAAAAGAGGGUUUAAUUUGUGUGUCAAGAAAUUCACGCACCAGUGCUUCUUCCAAAUCUUCUAAUUCCUGUCUCAUGGACUGAUUGUAUUCGGCGCUAAACAAACUACUUUGUUCAAUUAAUCGCAACGAAUUUAUGCUUAACUCGACUGGUAACAUUGCAUCGUGUCCGUAGGUUAAUGCAUACGGGGUUGUCGCAGUCGCCGAUCGGGGCGAUGUUCGAUAUGCCCAUAAUGCCUCGUUCAACUUCAAAUGCCACAUGCCGAGUCUUUCUUUUAUUAUUUUUUCGAGGAUGCCGAUCAACACUUUAUUACUUGCCUCGGCCUGCCCAUUCGCUUGUGGAUAAUACGGUGUAGAUUGUUCGAGCUGAAUUUUUAAAUUUGCCAUAUACUCUUUAAACCUUUCGGCUGUGAAGAUUGUUCCAUUGUCAGUUAUGAUCGUUUCUGGUACGCCAAAUCUGGUCACAAUGUGUUCCUCCACAAAAUCGCAAACUUCUUUAAACGUUAGCUCGGCAUAUGAUUUUGCUUCGACCCACUUAGUAAAGUAAUCGGUUGCGACUAUUAUCCAUGCAUGCUUGGCAGCUCCGGAGGAUGGCGUGAUUUUGCUGAUUACGUCCAUGGCCCAUCCUCUAAACGACUAUGGUUUGAUGACCAAAUGCAAUGAUUCGGCCGGGACCCUUUGUAUAGGUCCGUGGAUUUGGCACUGUACGCAUCCUCGUGUAAACUCGAUACAAUCCUUUAGUAUUCUUUGCCAAAAGUAACCGUGUCGUCGAAGUAGCCAUCACAUUUUUCGUCCGGAUUGAUGAGCUCCGCAAACCCCUUCAUGGACUUCUGUGAUCGCCCGAGCACCCUUUUGGGGGCUGAGGCAUAGCAGUAGCAAUCCAUCCUCCCCUUUUCGGUAUAACUCGUUUUGGUACGUGACAUAGUUCGUGGCGUGGACUCGUGUCUUGCGACUAUGUUUUCCAUCGGGAUUGUCAAGGUAUUGCAUAAUGGGUUUUCUCCAAUCAUUUGGUGUUGCCUCGACGGUACAAACCUCUAUAGUAUCUUGUCGGUCUAGCAAUGAAGGUAAAGACAUGACCCGAGUGCGUAUUACAUCGUUGCGCCGGAGGAUUUGCUGGUUGACCAAGGCUGGGUAUAGUUGUCGUAACACCGGUAUUUCCCGGCCUAGCUUACCCCCCAGGAGUUGUGCACCAGAGGCAAUUUGAGCCAACUCGUCCGCGUCGGUAUUAUGGAUCCGGGAAAUAUGUUCGAACGUAAUACCGUCGAAGGACUCGGCCAAAUAGCUGGCAACCAUGUGGUAGGGUGCCAGGGUACAACUCAUGCAGCGGAAAGACCCAUUAAGUUGGUUAAUCACAAGCUCAGAGUCGCCGAGGACGAGGGCACGGGUGGCCCGCAAGUCAUGAAGGAGGCCAAGGCCGAUGAUUAGGCCUUCAUAUUCGGCCUGAUUAUUGGUGUAGUCAAAAUCCAACUUAAGCAAAAAAUAUCAACGAUCGUGAUUAGGAGAUUGAAUGACAACUCCAACGCCGGUCGAGGAUGAAGUACUGGACCCGUCAAAAUACAUCGUCCAAUAGUUGUCGCGUGUUUCAACCAUGCCGAUUUCGACAUCAGUGUCCCCAAAACCGUAGGGGGAGGGGUGGUGAGCAAGGAAAUCGGCCAAUGCUUGGCCUUUGACAGCUUUCUGGGGCACGUAUUGCAGGCUAAAUUCGGACAACGCCAUCGUCCACUUCCCAAUUCUCCCUUUUACGAUUGGCCGGGUAAACAUGUACCGGAUAACGUCGGUCUGGGUAAUGACUUGUGUGACCGACGGAAGCAUGUAAUGUUGGAGCUUGGAGGCGGCGAAGAACACGGCAAGACAGAGCUUCUCAACGGCGGAAUAAUUGAUCUCCGGUGGAUUAAGAUUUCGACUGAGGUAAAAAAUAGCCUGCUCUCGCCCGACAUCAUUGUCUUGGGCAAGGAGGCAGCCGAUGGACUCUUCAGCCGCCGAGAUAUAUAGUUUGAGGGGUUUACCGUGCCGAGGUGGAACAAGGAAAUGUGGUGUCGUGAGGGAGACUUUGAUUUGUGUAAACGCCGCUUUAUGCUCGUUCGUCCAUGUAAAUGUAUCCGAGUCCUUAAGUUUCAAAAGCGUUGAAAACGCUUUCAUUUUCCCUGCCGAGUUAGCGAUAAAUCGGCUGAGAAAAUUUAUCUUGCCGGGUAAGGACUGCAACUGUUUCUUCGUAGUCGGGGGUGGAGCACUGAUGAUUGCACGUGCUUUAUUUUCGUCCACUUCAAUCCCACGGUGAUGUACCAGGAAACCGAGAAAAUUACCGGCUGACACACCGAAUGCACAUUUGGCAAGAUUCAUUUUGAGAUUGUGUUGGAGCAUAUGAAGGAAAGCUUGUCGGAGAUCAUCCACAUGAGUCCGCCGUUGUUUGGAUUUAAUUACAACAUCGUUAAUAUAGACUUCGACGAUGGUUCCAAUUAAGUCAUGAAAUAUGGUGUUCAUUGCCCGUUGGUAUGUGGCGCCGGCAUUUUUGAGGCCGAAUUGCAUAACAACCCAUUCGUAAGUGCCGAGUGUCCCCAGGCAGCGGAAAGCAGUUUUGUGCACAUCGGCUUCAGCAAUGAAAAUUUGGUUGUACCCGGCAUGUCCAUCCAUAAAGGAUAAGAUCGCAUGAUUCACCGCGGCAUCGAUUAAUAGAUCUGAAAUCGGCAUUGUAUACUCAUCUUUGGGAGUUGCCAGAUUCAGAUUUCUGAAAUCGAUGCAGAUGCGCAGUGCACCAUUCUUCUUUAAGACAGGAACGAUAUUCGCCAACCAUUCCACAUAUAAAGAGCUGUCCGAAUGAACCCGGCUUUCAAAAGUCGAACCAGUUCAUCCUUGAUACCGAGUUGCACUUCGGUCGAGAAUCGAUGAGGUGGUUGCCGAAAAGGUUUACAUCCGGGCUUAAUACGUAAUUCAUGCUCGACAAGAGUGCGAUCUAAGCCGGGCAUUUCAUGGUAGCUCCAAGCAAAACAAUCUUUGAACUCUGUAAGCAAGGCACAAAGUUCGUCCUUCAUUUGUUGGGGAAGUAAUGCACUAAUAAACAAAGGUCGUGGGUCGUCAGCCGUCCCAACGUUAAUCUCUUCCAGGGGGUCCUUAACUUGGGGCUGAUGAUCUUCGAGCUCGGCCGGGGCGGUUCGAACUUUGUCAAGGGAUAAGACAGGACCAUUAUUUCCUUCGGCAAGGAACUCGACGAGGUUAACGCCCGAAUUUGGUUGUUGAGAUAUAGUAUACCAAUGGGCCAGCAGUCGUUCCAUAGUAGAUGAAACCGUGGCCCUACGUUCCUCCCGAUCGGUGUCAAACAUCGGCUUCGGGGAGAAAGUUGGCUAAUCCGAGUCUCGCCGAAUCCUGGUGGACAGUCUCGGCGCCAACCUCGAUAGCUUUCUGAACAGAAAUCUGAGUCGGUCGUCCUUCAUCAUUGAAGCCUUGCAAAGUAAUGUAGCCGACGUAGUCAUCAUAGUACCGUGCUUGGAUCAUGUUGGUUUCGAAGGGUUGGCUAUCGGCCGGGUGAACAGUGACCGAUUUGCCGUCCCAAAAAAUGAGCACUUGAUACAAUGAGGAAGGAAUACAGCUGGUUUGGUGAAUCCAAUCUCGACCGAGUAGUGCAUUAUACUCGGUUUUAGAAUCGACCACGAAAAAGGCGGUCAUGUGAAUGCGACCAGCAAUAUUCACUGUUAGCGGAAGGACACCUUUGGUUUGGGAUUUGUCACCGACGAAACUACUCAUUGUGAUCCCUGACGAAAUAAGUUCGUCAUUAGAGCAACGUAAGGCUUUCAUGAUGUUCAUAGGCAUGAUAUUGACAGUAGCUCCACAGUCGACAAAAACUUUAGAAAUUGGAUAUCCCUCGAUAUGGGCCGUCACAUACAAUGGCUUUAAAUGAUGGAGGUUGGCCGAUGGUGAACGAGGAAAUAAUUCGGCCAAAGCUGCUUUGAUAUUGUCAUCUUUUGUUGUAGAGUCAACUUCAGCAACGGAGACGAAAUCAACAUGGCCGGCUUCCUCGGCGACUACAUCACCAUCGAGGAAAUUUAGCUGAGCUGUGCUGGAUUGAAAAGCAGCAAGUAACACAUGGACCAUAUUGAUUUCCAUGUUAUCCAAGACGGAUGGGCCCAUCAGGUUAGGAUCCUCCUCGUUAACCUUAUCUCUCGUCUGGUUGGCGACUACAGCUUCCGUUGUUGUCAGAGUUGGACAAAGAGACUCUUCUGCUCCUUCUUCAAGGGUUUGAUCCUGUGUUGUUGCUUCGGCAGCUUGUUGGUUCUGCGUUAUCACCUCAAGUGAGGUUGAGGUCGACAGUGUGUUUGGGGUCAAGAUCCGAGCCUGCUCCUGGUAGUGUAUCCGGGCAUCCCUGGUGUCGAGAUAAGCAUCCAAUCGCGCAACACGUGCUAUUUCAUCGGUCGUAAGGCCGAAGAGAGAAACAACCGAAAAUACUUCGAAGUGAUAUCGUAAAUACUGAAGAUCCUCUAUUGAGAAAGGAAGGUCGGCUGCAUCGAUAUCAGUGUAUAGGUCGACUUCAAAUCCAAGGACACGAGCUUCUCGUAUGUGCUGGAAUCUUGCUUUCAAUCCUGGGUCUGAGGUCUUCUGAAUGAUUAGCUCGGCAUCAGGACAAAUCAGGACUAGAUCAAUUGUAUCCUGACAUGCCUUCGGCAAGCCAUACAGAUCAUUGGCCGAAUGUUUCUUAUGGAAUUCUCGCAUGUACUCCAAAGCCUCCCCGAGGAAUGGUGGGUGCAAAUUCCGUCGAAUUUUAAUCAAAGGUUCUUGUAUGGCCGGCGGGGGUAAUUUACUUUCGGCCUCCUGCCUGAAAUGCUCGAGGCGUGCCUUCAUCUCCCCCGGGCGAAGAAGAAGUUUGAUCCGUUUAUCAGCCUCUUCGAACGUGGUUUCGAUAUCUCGGUUGACCAGCCGUUUCCCUUGAACCAACUCUGUCAUAAUAGCUGGAGGUGGUCGUUCAUCAUCAGUAACAAUUGUGUCCUUCAACCGCCAUUGAGGAGCCGAAGUUUCUUGGGCCGCUUGUCGGCGGGCCAUGCAAUCUAUCCUUUGGUGCCGGCGUUUCUGGGAUUUGGACAGUGCGGUGUAAACGCCUUUCGAAGAAUGAUAUGUAUACCAACGUUGAUCGCUAGGUUUAGGAGGUUUGAAAGUUUUUUGGCUCCGCGAUGACUCCGAACUGCUAGAAUUACGUUUAUAGUAGUCAUCGUCGUAAAAUGAAGCAUUAAAAUCAAGACGUCGCCUGACUGAGGGUGCCUCUUCCAUCCUCACUUUGGGACCGAGCCUAUCAAAAACCCCUUGAUGUUGGCCUACGUCGGCAACCUUCUGCUGGGUUGCGGCCGUAGGUCGUUCCGUUAUAAGCGAAGAGGGCUUCUCCUCUGACUCACUGCCGACCUUUGCUCUACAUUUACUGCACAAAACCGCUGUCCCACUGUCUUCAUCGGUGGUAUAAUCUAUCAUAGGUUUGACAAUAGCGGGUCCCGUUAAAGCUGUAGGCGGUUUGUGUGAAUGAAAAUCGGCCAUGAAACGUGGCCGAGAACUCUGAUUUCGAAAGUGUUGCGUCGCAACAUCUUCGGCCUUCCCUUUCCCUUUGUCUUUAGGUAGGCACACAUCGACCAUAUUUACUGUUGCCGUGGGGAACGGGUCAGUAUCAACACUCAUCUUCUUCUCUGGAAUUUCAGUUUGCCAUUAUCAAUCCAGCUUUGGACGUUGUCUCGAAACACGACACAAUUGUUUGUCGUGUGUUUGCUUGAAUUGUGGUAUUUGCAAUAUAUCUUCCCUUUAAGCUCUUCGGCCUUGGGAAUGUUGUGCCCAGGCCGAAGUUUGAUGAUCCUUGCUGAUAAGAGUUGAUAAAAAAUUGCAUCGGCUUUUGUAAUAUCAAAUGUAUAAACUUUCGACGGUUUCAGUGCUCCUUCAGUAGCCGAGCGGGUUUUGACUUCCUUAGAAUCAACUUGAGUCAGUGCCUUGCAGACGUAUGGCUUAUCUAUCACUAUCUCAGCUGCAUCCACACUAACACAUUCAUCCUCGGUUGAUGCAUAACUGACAGUAGGAUUCUUGUAAAUCGUCCCCCGAGAUGGAGUUUUCGAAAUCUUUUCCUCGUGGAGCAAAUCAUCAUACUGCUCGACAUGCUGUGCUAAUUCGUACAUAUCCCGAAAGUUUACCCCCAAGAAUUUCAUUUUGUAUUCGACGUCAAGACCGUUCAGAGCAAGUCUGACGAAUUCAACUUCGGGGAGAGGCACUCGGCACCAAUUCCUAGCUGAUUUGAAUCUAGUAAGAUAAUCCAUUGGUGACUCGUCGGACGCCUGAGCCAUCCUUGCUAGUGAGGAUACUGACAUUUCCAUUCCCGGCCGAUAAAACUGCUCAUGAAAUUUCUCGACCAACUUCUCCCAACUCUGGACGGAGUUCGGUGGGAGGUUAAUAUACCAAGCGAAUGCUGAGCCGAUCAACGAAAAAUUGAAAAGUCGCAGCUUGUGAAAGUCACUAUUAACGUAUCCGCACUGUGCGGUGAAGCGAGCUACAUGUUCUAACGAGGAUAAGGACGAUUCUCCGGUAAAAAGGCUAAAAUCUGGGAUCUUGAAACCUCUAGGGUAUUCGACCUGUUCCACGUAAGCUGGAUACGGGUGUAUAAACUUAGGGAACUUCAGCCCUUUCUUCAUGGCUGAAUCGAUCAUCCGUUGAACUUCGGUCAUAUCGACGGGCAUUACUUCCGCUCUCUGGUCGGAUCCGUCUGACCUACUAUUCGACCCUCCUCCUUUUUCCAAUUGAAGUGGCCUGAGCCGAGCAGGAAUUGGCUCGGCCGGUGCACUUGAUAAUAGAUUAUUCCUUGGCGGCAAAUGCUGGGCAAGAUCGAAAAUUCUACCAUCGCUGACCUUACUAACCAGUAUUUCGAGUAAUCUGGUUUGUGCUUCACUGGAAAUGCGUAUCACGUCAUGAAGCUUAUCGAUUCCUCGACUCAAUGUCUGUUCAACUGUCCGAGAUUGCUCGUCAAGCCGUUUUCGAAUAAACGACCUUGUGGGUGGAUCGGAUCCUUCGCCACCAUUUUCAUCACAAUCUUCUAUUACUCCUUCAUUGAGAACGCAAGUGUUCCUGUCGGGAAUUUCAAGACUGCGAACCUGACCGCCGAGAUUAACUUCCCUCUCUCGGCGAGUUGCGCUCGUAGACUCAGGUGUCACGGCGCUGAUGGGAUUUUGCGCUUGUGGCACAUGGUGUCCUGCGUUCUGAUUUGGUAGAUCGGAUGUCGACUUUCCCAUAGUUGUUUUCUUUUUUACCAAUCGUGUUUCAAUUGGCAUGAACUUCGUAGUCUAGCACUGGGUCCCACUGGGCGUGCCAAAAUGUUGACCCUAGAAACUACCAAGCCUACGUGGCGCGCAGGUCGAGUAAUCUAUAAGCUAACUACGUCCUUCGGUGAAUGCGGGGCGUGCCAACUCGUCGGCCGAGCUCGGCCGAGGAGUAAAUUUUGUUGAUGUUGCGUUGGGCGCGCGGCUGACUUCUGCGUCUUGCGAUUGCGGCCGAGAAAGGAACACGUCUCGGCCUCUUGGGCUCUCGAACCUGAAGACAAGAUUACUAUUCUUACGAAGUUCACGAGUCGUCGUCGUCGGAUUCAGUCACAGUGAUGUUAUUCGUCAGAGUAAACUCACGCCGAAUCGACACCAGAGUGUAAGGGCACAAAUACUCAAAGCAAAUAUAAGUUUUAAUGGUGAACGUGGUUCGGCCGUCCGAAUGCCGAACUCUAAAUCCCACUUGAGAAUAUCCAAUCAUAAAAUAACUCGGCAAGCAAAGCGCCGAGCUCGAUAUAUCGUAACACCUCAAUUCGCCGAGAAGGCUAAUGAGAUGACCUCAAUCAAUAAGGAUCCGGAAAUCCUCCUUGACAGAGACUUGGAUAGGUAAUCAACCGUUCUCGCCGCAGUGCUGUUGAUGCCAACGGAAGAUACUGCGAGAUCGACUGAUUCUACGGUGACAGAGCUAUCUAUGCCGACUUAAGAUAUCACCGGUUGCUUUCACAGUGCUGUUGAUGCCAACGGAAGAUGUGUCAGCGAAAAAGAAAGAAAAAUCUCAAGUUGUUGAGUUUGCGCAGGGCAGUUUUGUAUUGAUUUGUAGGGGGCUUUGAAUGAUGCGCAUCCUCUUCUAUUUAUAGCAACGGCUCCCCCCAAGGUCGAGUUAAAAACCUACUCGGACUAGGUCUUCUUCUCCUGAUCAGCACCAACUCGACCAGUCCUACUUUCACUAGGAUUGUGAACCUAGUCCUUAACCGAGCCGGAUUUGCUUCCGGGUCCUGCCGAGACUCCUCAUUGCAUUAGGACUCGACUUCUUGCAUUAUGACCUAGCUGACCUAGGUUUGGAGGCCCACGUACUAAACGAUCCAUGGUAUUCUUGUCGCAAGGCCUUCUGGGCCGAGAAUGAUUCUAUACUCGGCCCAAACUAUUAUUUUGGGCCCAAACAGUAAACUUUAUUUUUAAAAGUCUUUUCAGUAUGGAAAGGAGUGUAAAAGUGAUUGGUAAAACUUUGGUGAAAAAAUGAUGUAAUUGUAUACAAUGAUAAAAAUGAACAUGAUAGUGUGAGUGAUAACCACAAGAACAGUAGCUAGGACAAUAGUUGUGAUGGUGAUGUGGUGCUAAUAAAGGGGUGUGUUGGUUGGUGAGCUGUAGAGGUAACACUGGUGAUAGUGGUGACAACAAUAGCAAUGAUAGUAACAGGAUGUAGACGUAUGCAUUUUCCCUUUAGAAACAAAUUAAUUUUUCCAGCACACUCCACUUCAAAUUUCUCGUUACGUCCUCUUCUUUUCCAUCAUUAAAAAAUGACUUUUUUUUUAAUUAAAAAAAAAAACAUCAACUCGUACAACGGAGUUUCUCUUAAAAACAGAAAAAUAUGCCAAAAAUAAUUGUCUUUUGUAGUCUUUUGUCAACAAUGGCGGCUACCUUCGGAAGAAGAGAUUUUUCAGUAUUUCCGUCACACGAAAUGUUACAUCAUGUAUCUUUACAUAAAUGGUGGGUUACGUAUAUUAAAAGGUUAAUAACUUAAAAAUUAAAAGUUUCCACCACUUGCAUAAAAACACAUGUUGUAUCAUCCGUGUUCUCGUCACAACUAAAAAUUUUCCCUUCGGAAGAUCCCAGCAAACUUCCUCAUUUUUUUCCCUUUAGUCACUGAGUUAUCGUAAACAACUAAAACUUGGCUUUUAAGAAAAGAACAAAUACUCCACUCUAUAUAAAACCAUGUCUUUCAUUGAGCAGAAACAAAAUUAAAACCCUUAACCUUCAAGAGAUUCCGUAAACCCUUCGGUCAGAAACGAAGAUGAUUGGGGGAAUGUGGCCUCAAAUGGGCUCGGUGAUAGCGAGUAUGGUGUUCGUUAUCACCAUAUUUCAACGAUACCUUCCCCUCCAACUUCGGGACCAUGUCGAAGGAUACACUCAAAAAUUAGUGGGCUUUGUCUACCCUUACAUCCAAAUCACCUU